Molecule: long non-coding RNA, 65156 nt
Filed under: Solanum tuberosum (potato)
Lineage: Eukaryota; Viridiplantae; Streptophyta; Magnoliopsida; Solanales; Solanaceae
Description: long non-coding RNA (STUB_LNC011502)
Source: RNAcentral
AUAAGAGUAAAGUACAUUAAAAUACCUCAAAAAAUUCUCAAACUGCACCAACGACCUUAGAAUAUCGAAACAAAAAAUGAUCAUAAGUUUACUCUUUUUCAUAACUGUACGAAAAAUAACAAAAAAUUUAAUUUUUCCUCUUCAAUGUACGAAACAUAUAAAAAUCAAGAAAAGUACAUCAAAACGCCUCAAAAAAUUACACUUUUUCGUAACUCUCCAAAAAUUAACAAAAAAAUUAAUUUUUCCUCGUAAAUGUAUGAAAGAUAUUAAAGUCAAGAAAAGUACAUCAAAACACCUCAAAAAAAAUUCAAACUACACCAACGACCUUAGAUUAUUUAAACAAAAAAAUGAUUAAAAUUUUAUUCUUUUUCGUAAUAACAAAAAAUUAAAUAACUAAAAAUUAAUAUUUCCUCGUAAAUGUACGAAACAUAUUAAAAUCCUGUAAAGUAAAUCAAAACACCUCAAAAAAUUCUCAUACUGCACCAAUGGCCUUAGAAUAUCGAAACAGAAAAAUGAUCAAUUUUUUUUCUUUUUCAUAACUGUAUGAAAAAUAACAAAAAAAAUAUUUUUCCUCGUAAAUGUCUGAAAGAUAUAAAAAUCAAGAAAAGUACAUCAAAACACCUCAAAAAAUUCUUAAACUGCACCAAUGACCUUAGAAUUUUGAAACAAAAAAAUAUUCAAAAUUUUACUCUUUUACGUAACUGUUCGAAAAAUAACAAAAAAGAAAAAAUUUCUCGAAAAUGUACGAAACAUAUAAAAAAUAUGAAAAGUACAUCAAAACACCUCAAAAAAAUUUCAAACUACACCAAUGACCUUGAAAUAUCGAAACAAAAAAAUAAUCAAAAUUUAACACUUUUUCGUAACUGUCCGAAAAAUAACAAAAAAAAAAAUUCCUCGUAAUUGAACGAAACUUAUAAAAAUUAAGAAAAGUACAUCAAAACACCUCAAUAAAUUCUCAAACUGCACCAAUGACCUUAAAUAUUUAAACAAAACAAUAAUCAAAAUUUUACCCUUUUUUCGUAACUGUCCGAAAAAUAACAAAAAAAUUAUUUUUUCCUCGUAAAUGUAUGAAACAUACUAAAAUCAAGGAAAGUAUAUCUAAACACCUCAAAAUAAUUCUCAAACUGCACCAAUGACCUUAGAAUAUCGAAACAAAAAAUCAUAAAAAAAUGUACUCUUUUUUGUAACUGUCCGAAAAAUAACAAAAAAAUUAAUUUUUCCUCGUAAAUAUCCGAAAGAUAUAAAAAUCAAGAAAAUACAUCAAAACACCUCAAAAAAAUCUCAAAGUGCACCAAUGACCUUAGAAUAUCGAAAUAAAAAAAUGAUUAAAAUUUUACUCUUUUUCAUAAUUGUCCUAUCAAGACCCGAUUCCUCGAGUCAUGAUGGCACCUACUAUAAUCUAUAUAAGUAGGCAAGCCAACCCGUAUCCUGGAACAACUAGUAAUGGGAUUGAGGGUAAAAAACUAAACCCAACAACACAAUAAUAAUAACAACAACAAUCACAAAUGGAAGGGUGCAAGCAAGCCAAAACUAUAUACAAACAAAAUAUCCCUCUCAGAACUUGGAAGUCACAAGUAUAGAGCUACUAACAAAAUGAGUACAAGUCCUAAAAGUGGACCAAAGAAACAAGACUGUCUCAAAAAGCAAAAGACAAGUCAAUAUAUAAAUACAUAAGGAGACGGGCAAAUCCAGGACGCUAUAUGCUCACCCUCGCCUACUAAUAUCACUGUAGAUGGCUCGAAAUCAACGCUGAUAGCUGGUGCUCAGACGUGCAUCACGAAAAUAGAUGCAGAGUAUAGUAUGAGUACCAACACAACAGGUACCCAGUAGGCAUCAUAGGCCGACUGAGCAAGAAAAGAAAAAGUAAUGUGAAAUGAGAGAAUCUAACAUACUAACAGAAAUAAGCAGGAGGGAGCAUCUAAUAGGUAUGCACACGACCGUACUUACACACAAAGAGAAGGAUAGUAGCUAACUAAAUCCGACCGAGCUCCCAUAAACCCGACGGGUAUGCUCGUGCACAAUAUUAAAGUAAAACUCGAACGGAUUCCCAUAAUCCUACCAGGUGCAAAGAAGGGAGAGUUGAAAUGAAGUAAGAGGAUCCGAUGAAGUUUUUAAGAUUACCACAACUUUUCGAACUUGAACCGAACUAAUACAUGUGCCCGAAGCUUACCCAGAGCUAAUAGGGAAAUAAGGACUUGAACCGAAUGAAGAUGAAGGAUCAAGGACUUGAACCGAGAUUUGGAGUAACCGAGGACUUGGACAAAGGCUAAGGAUAAUCGUGGACUUGAACCACAUAAAUUAUGACCAAGGACUUGAACCGAGGUUAAGGAUAAUCAUGGACUUGAACCACAUAAAAUAUGACCAAGGAAUUGAACUGAGGUUAAGGAUAAUCGUGGACUUGAACCACAUAAAAUAUGACCAAGGAAAGGACUUGAACCCCGCCUGGUGGAGUUAACUGGGGACUUGAACCACGAGUAGAGUUGAGUCGAUUAGAAAUAGGAUUAGCUGUCAACCGAGCGUCAUGGGGAGUACCGCCAAACCAAGUGCCAUCAAUAGAUCACUCCUGCCCGAACCGUAUCCAACUAGAAUAAUCGAGUAGCUUCCAAACAAAUAAUUCAAAUACAUCGAAACCAACAGGACAAGGAAUUAUGGAUAUAAAGUUCCAAGAGCGGUGUUACUGCCUGGCUAAGGCCUAGACUAUCAGACUCAAGUCUGCUAUAUCAGUCUACAGGGAGCUAAGCCGUCUGAAGCGACAUCGAAGAGGUUUCAAGGCCUAACGGCUCUAAAAUACGCAAGUCUAUGGCAAUCACUAGUCUAAACCUAGACUAAGGCCAAACAUGCUUUCAAAUAUACACACAAGCCAUAAAAAGGGCGCACCACAAGGUACAGAUGAUCAAUAAUGAAUUAGACAUGCUUCAGUAACCUGAAGUACCGAAAUUAGAGCCUAAGUCAUGGUUUCUAGGAAUUUAGCAUGCUCAACCACCAAUUACCCCCAAAAUCAGACAAAUCAACAUACAAAUGCUAAAUCAUGCUCAAUCUAAGGAGAGGGAAGUCGUAGCGUACCUGUAGGCCGACCGUGCGUGCUCCAAAUCACGUACCCAAAGCCUUUCCCUGCCGUAUGACCUCAGAAUGUUGUCACGCUAUCAAGAAUAGAAUCACCACGUUAAUAUGAGCGUUUUGAAACCAAAAUCAUAAUUUUUGGAGUUGGAUCCGAAAUUGGGCCUAAAAUGGGAUUGUGGGACCCGCGAUGGGAACCCCGUAUUUGAUACCACAAAAAAUGUAUCAACGCAAUAUGGAACUUGUACCCCAAAAUGGGGCACAAUUUAAGGAUCUAACUGAAAGAAAUUUGAUCAUGCGAUGAAAAUUCAAUUUAUGGGGAAAAUCAAGAAGAGGGCAGCCCUUUUGGGGCAGAAAUUACCUCAAAACGUCGAUCUUCACACUUCUCCGUGCACUCCACAGCGAACCAACAAUCCACACGAACACCCAGAACUUUGAAUCACCUAAAUCAGAGCUUUAUAGCUCAAGAAAUCAAAACCUCCAUUAAAUAGAAGAGUCAAGAAAAGGGCAGCAGCUAAAACCAAGAAAACGCCUCAAACGAAGCUUCCCCAACCCUUUCCGAUCAUACCACUGCGUUCGACGAAAAAACCACACAAUUUAGAGCUUUUGAAUCACUCAAUUUGGCGCUCUGUAACUCAAGAUAUCGCAAUUGAAAAUGAGGGCUGAAAGCUGAAAUGGAGCUUUUAAAAGACGAAUCUGGUCGCUAAAAAGUCAAAACUUUUGUCGUUAAAAACCCAAAAUCUGAUCGCUAAAAGGGCUGCACCAGAUUUCAGCCUUUCCUAUUUUUUUAAAGCCUCCGACGUGGUGCUUGGAAUUCGUUCGGAAUCCCGUGCGUGCAAAUGGACUAUGCUUCCCCACUAAAUUCGACAUUUCGGAUUCAAUGGCGCAGUCAAAAUUCCCAUACGAGGUCAUUUUGACUGAAAGUGGAUCCCACAUCCAAAUGACAUUUUUAGCCAAAUUCCACAACGGGCCUCGCGAUUAGAUCGGAAGCCUCGGGAAGCAAACAAUGGGUCAUUCUAGACCCAACUUGACAUUUCGGAACUAACAGCAAUGACGAAAUUUUCAUCUGAGCACAAUUUCCAAGAAUGUUGACCAAAGUCAACCUUAGGCCAAAUUUCGUAGGCUAAAAGGCCAAAUGGUCCCAAACUCGCACCAAAGGCCUCGGAACUCGUUACGACCAUUCAGCUAGCCUAAUUUGGCCAUUUCGGAGUAGAUGGAACCAUCAAAAUUUCAUCCUGAGGUCGUUAACCUAAUAUUAUGACUAAAGUCAACUUUUCAAGGUUUAAAAGCUCCAAAACAGCAAAACGGGCUUAAAACCCAAACGAAUGACCAAGUGACCGAACAGUCAGUGUGAGCAAGUGGGGUCGCUAUAGGAACUCUCUAAACGCCGAAAUGAAUGCAUUAACUCAAAUAUGACAUGUAGGGCCAUUACAACAUCCACUACUAAAAGAACUUUCGUCUGCGAAAGUAAAAGCCAAGAAGUACCUGAAGGCUCAAAUAAGCCGGGGAACUUCUCCCGCACCUCCUGCUCGGUCUUCCAAGUGGCCUCCUCGACUGGACGGUGCCUCCAACGGACUUUAACCACAGGAAUGGCUCUGGAUCGCAACUGCCUCACAACUCUAUCUAAGAUGGCAACUGGCUCCUCAAUAUAGGUCAAACGAUCAUCUAACUCAACUGCAUCAUACUGGAGCACAUGGGACUUUUUCACAACCCAAGGCUACCCCCUAGACGUGACACGGCGUACUCAACCCCGAAGUGGUCUCAUACAAGCCCAUAACAUUCUUGAACAUAAGAACAUAUGAAAAUAAAGUGGAAGUAAAACUUUUCUUUACAAUCGAAAUCAUUUUUUUCAUAAAAGCAAGCGGAAGACUUUCUAUACUAUGUCUCAAACCAUUACAAUACUUUUAAUAAACUUUGGGACUAAGCCCAUACAAAAGCUAUAAACACAAAGUAAAAGACAUAAAGGGAAAUCAUGGGUUCGUCCUCGAAACUAUGAGGACUCACCAAAUCUUCAUCUCCUUAGAAACCUAUCCUUCAAGUAUAGAACAUCAAAUCUCCAAACCCUACACUUUUAUAAAAAGGAGAAAAUAUGGGUUAGAACAUUAGAUGUACUAAGUAUGAUAGUCAUGCAAAAACCAUGCUUAAAACGGACAUUUUAUUUGUAAUCAUGCUUUCAUGCCAAUUUGAGAAAACUUCAUGAACAUACAUAAGAGACAUAAUAUACACAUAUAACCAACAUACAAGUCAUUUCAUCACAUUAGAACAUAAUAAACAUAUAAACCAUUUCAUCACAUUAAGCCUUCACCUCAAGUAACCUUGAACCUAUACUUGGUGCAAUUUAUGAAUAACGUCCCAUACCACCAUCCACACCAAGUACCACAUCAAGGCCACUAAAGUGAACUUACCAUUCAUCCUUUCCAUCUUUACACAAUACUCAUACAUAAGAGACAUAAACAUUUCAUAAGUCAUAUCAACACAUUAGGACCAUCAUCUAGGGCAACCCUAAGUCAUACUUAUGCAAUGUAUGAGUAGCAUCCCAUUAUGCUACUCAUACUAAAUAUUCUUUUGAUGCCACCAUAGACCAGGCACAUUCAUACUCAAUAAGUCAUGACAAGGAAGUAACUCAUAAUACAAUCCAAAUGUAGCAUGCAUCAUUACAUUUAUGCAUAUAAGUCAACAUUCUUCAUUAGCUUCAUUAAGAACACCUUCAUUCAUUAGACAUUAAAUCAACCUUUUCAUUUGCAUCGUCAUAAGAGCACAUUCAUUUCAUUAGACCUAAAUGAACACACCAUAACCCCUCUCAAAGCCUACUUGUGCGAUGCAUGGAUGGCAUCCCAUACUACCACCCACGCUAAGUAGUGCAUUCUUGAGAAGCCAUAGUUCAUUAACAUUGUUUGUGGGGGUAAGCCUUAACCGACAAAGACCAUGUGAGCAAUUCAUGUAAUCCCGAUGUCACCCUCUCCGGAUAAGGGAUUCCUACUUGCCUAAGGUAGGACCAUUACUUUUAGCUUAGGUGAAUCCACUAGCUAAUAUCCUAUGUGGGCACAUAGUUAUGGGAUACGGAGAUUGCUAUUAGACACCCCGUCUCAACUCAUGGAUGAGCAUCCAUCCCAAGAUAUUUCUACUAGAUACCCCGCCUCAAGUCACAGAUGAGCAUCCAUCUCAAUUCAUAUCCACUCGGUGCUUAGAAUUAUUCCCCACGGAGUACUUAACAUUCAUUACUUUUGUUCAUUAUUAUGGGAUAAGAGAUUGCUACUAGAUGCCCCGCCUCAACUCACGGUUGAGUAUCCAUCUUAAUCCCAACAUUCAUUCAUUAGAUAGCUCAUAGAUUCAAAGAUGAGAAUAGCCUUUUAACUAAGAAUCCCAUAUUGUGAGAAAGUCCUUUCAUAAAUCCUUCAUGAAAUUGCCCUCCCAAGGCCAUACAUCAAUCACAACCCAAACAUCGAAGAUACUACAAUAGAUAAGGGAAUUAACAUAAUUCAAUAACUGAUUCAAUAUAAACAUAAACAAUCCAACAUACUUUCAUGAUCCAUCAAUUCCCAAUCACAAUUCACAACUUAAGAAUUUUGGGGGAAAACAUGGGUUCAUAGAAGAAAUUGUCUUAAUUCACCAUUAAUUCAACAUUCUAUUCAUAAUUCAUCAUAUAAAAGAUUUUGAAAUCAUUUUGGUAUUGAACCCAUGCAUAGAUUGAAAACUAGGGUUUUUGGGAAACUUUGGAGACUUAAAAUCAUCAUUGAAAUUGGCUCCUUGAAAGAAACUAAGUCAAGGAUGAAGACUACCAUACCUUUAGGUAAGAAAUCCACGAAAAUUGCUUGAGAAAUUUGAAAACUUGACCUUGAAAGCUUGACUCCUUUAUCUCUAAUGGAGGUUUCUAGAGAGAGCUUUUGGAGGGGAGGGAAGGUUUCUAAUUUGGUGUUUUGAAAUAAUGAAUUGAAAAGGAGUUUUAUUACCUUUAAAAGCCUUAAAAUACAUAAAUAAAUCAAUAUUAUCCGUCCCCCAACUAAACUAACUUAAAAAGGAAUUUACUAAACUAACCCCUCACUUAGCCGAAUUUGGACAACAAGCAGGUGUCAUAGAUCCCCCCUGACCUAUGGACCGUAGGUGGAGUCGCCCUAUCCUGCAGGUCCAUGGGUCAGGUCUGCAACUUGUCAUUUUGGGUCCUUGACCUACGGACCAAGCCUUACGGGGCAUAGGUCCCGUCCGUAGGUCCUCAUUUUUUGACAGUUUUUUGGUUCUUGGGCAGCUUUGGGGGUUAGACUUUAGGGUCCUCCUAAAGGACCCCUUUGUUGGUCCUUGGGGAGUCGUACCUUGACGUUUAACCCCUAAACCCCUCAACCAAAGCUCGGGACAACAUUUUACAACCUCAAACAUCACAGCUACUCAAAGACAAACUCGUUAGACUCUAGUUUCACCUAUUCAUUUUCCGGGUCGUUACAUUAUCCCCCACUUGGGAACAUUCUCCUCGAAUGACACUUUAAACACAUUAAGGGGUUAAUGACUCAAGACUAGCAGCCAAUCAUGCAAGCAACAUCAUAGACAAUGCACAAAACUAGGAGGAAACAUCAACUCCAUCUCAAACAUGUUCAAUGCAACACAAGAAAGUAGGAACUACAUCUACAAACUCAUUAUGCAUGAAAACUUCAACAUUUCUCAUUUCAUUGGAGGAAUUACCUUCUCCAACUCAAAUCAUGCUUAUCAUAACAUCAUUAGGCACAUUAUGCAAUUUCUCUUAAAAAGCACAUUUAGGCAUGUUCAACCAUUCACCUCAUGAAGUAUAUAGGCAAGCCAUACUAACUUCACAUCGACAUGAGGAACAUAAAUCAUAAAAACUCAUUUUCUCAUUCAAACAUGAAUUCAUUAAGAACAUGCAUAACAUAAGGAGACCAUGGAAACACAUAAUCACACAUGAAUCCAAAACAUGAAAUAAGCUACAAGGAACUCUUGGUUUCAAGCUUGAAUAGGAAUAGAAGGAAAGAGAUAAGGAUUCAAAACUCUCUACAACCUUACCAUUCAACAUAUUAUCCCCCACUUUAGAGUAAACCCAACUAUGGCUAACAUGAAAACAUCAUAGGAACCUUAACAAGUCAUCCACAACCAUAAGGAACUAUCAACAUACUGGUGCUUUUAAACUAGGAAGGUCUUCAUUAAGCAACUCUUGCUCACAAACAACCUUAUCAACACCACUUAAGGUUUCAUAUGAGUCUACUACACCGGGUCUAAACUCCUCAAACUCACUACACCUCUGAAGGUGAGAAUAUCAAGAAAGCCUAACUCAAGAACAUCAAGGACACUCAAUGACCAUACCAUCUAAGCACAUUAUCCCCCCACUUGGGAGUAAGCCUAUACAAACUCUUUUAAAUAUCACUUCUUUCAAUUCUAAGGUCGGAGUAAGUCACCACUAAACCUUCACACUCAUCACACAAGAUGAUUCUAAACCAAGGUGAAAUGCAUUUCUACCCUUCUUAGAGAAGUCUACUAACUCAACCCAUCAAGACAUUUCAAAAACACCUCAUUUAUCAAAUCUUUCAACAUACCUCAAAACUCAUCAUGACUAAGCCGAGUUCUAUCAUCAAGUAAACAUAAACAUAAAGCAACUCAUUCAUACUAAGGAAAACAUCACAAUCUAUCAAGUCACAUAGCCAUAAUUGGCAUCACAACCAACCUUGUAGCAUAUACCUUUCAAGUGGUCAUACCCUAAAGACCAUCGGAUAAGGAAUAAGGAAAAGCCAUUAUAGAGUUAGACUAUAUGGCACGACUUAAAGAAUGCAGAAGUGAUAUUUUCCUAACACCCAAUAGCCUCUUAUUCAUAAAUGUGGCGGGCUUCACACUAGGAACAGGACUGUACUAGAUGUGGUUUGAGACAUCCUAGAACCAUUCCAAAAUCUUAUGCUCUGAUACCAUAUUUGUCACGACCCAAGGCUACCCCCUAGACAUGACACGACGUACUCGACACCGAAGGGUGUCAUACAAGCCUCAUAGCAUUCUUGAACAUAAGAACAUAGGAAAAUAAAGUGGAAUUAAAACUUUUCUUUACAAUCGAAGUCAUUUCUUCAUAAAAGCAAGCGGAAAACUUUCUAUACUAUGUCUCAAACCAUCUACAAUGCUUUGAAUAAACUUUGGGACUAAGCCCAUACAAAAUCUCUAACCAUAAAGUAAAAGACAUAAAGGGAAAUCAUGGGUUCAUCCUCGAAACUAUGAGGACUCACCAAAUCUUCAUCUCCUUAUUCCUUAGAAACCUAUCCUUCAAGUAUAGAACAUCAAAUCUCCAAACCCUACACUUUUAUAAAAAAGAGAAAAUAUGGGUUAGCACAUUAGAUGUACUAAGUAUGAUAGUCAUGCAAAAACCAUGCUUAAAACGAACAUUUUAUUUGAAAUCAUGCUUGCAUGCCAAUUUGAGAAAACUUCAUGAACAUGAGUAUAAGAGACAUAAUAUACACACAUAACCAACACACAAGUGAUUUCAUCACAUUAGAACAUAAUCAACAUAUAAACCAUUUCAUCACAUUAAGCCUUCACCUCAAGUAACCCUCAAGCUAUACUUUGUGCAAUGUAUGAAUAGCGUCCCAUACCACCAUCCACACCAAGUACCACAUCAAGGCCACUAAAGUGAACUUACCAUUCAUCCUUUCCAUCUUUACACAAUACUCAUACAUAAGAGCAACCCUAAGUAAUACUUGUGCAAUGUAUGAGUAGCAUCUCAUACUACUACUCACACUAAGUACUCAUUUGAAGCCUCCAUAGACCAGGCACAUUCAUACUCAAUAAGUCAUGACAAGAAAUUAACUAAUAAUACAAUCUAAAUAUAGCAUGCAUUAUUACAUUUAAGCAUAUAAGUCAACAUUCUCAAUUAGCUUCAUUAAGAACACCUUCAUUCAUUAGACUGUAAAUCAACCUUCUCAUUUGCAUCUUCAUAAGAGCACAUUCAUUUCAAUAGACAUUAUCACAUAAAGGAACACACCAAAACCUCUCUCAAAGUGUCACGCCUAAAAUCCCAUGAAGACGAACAAGAACCCGAUGCCCUCAAGGCCUGAGAGAACCAACAUGUAACAUGUGUUUACUAUGCUUAUAACUAUGACACUCUUGUGACAAGUUCACAUAGGAUGCAUCGAUAUGAACCAACAUAAGUAGAUCCAAAACAUAUAUACAAGACUUGGCCGUUGAGGCCACAACUUGUUAAGACGCAACUGAACCAUAUACAUAAGUCUACAAAGCCUCUAAAAGAUAGAAAACCUUAGAGUAGGUUGGGACAGACCCCGCCUUACUCUUAACUAUGAUACAAUACCAAAAUGAAUCUACCAAGGACUUAGUAAAGCUCUGAAUCAAUCUGGAGCUCACCAAAAGUAGCUGAAUGUCGUAUACUCCUACUAAGGAGGUCUACUAGCUGAAGUACCUGUGCCUGCAAUAUGAAAUGCAGCGUAACCCGGGAGGGACGUCAGUACGAGGAAAUGUACUAAAUAUGUAAGGCAAUAACAUAUAUAAAAUAAGAGUUCGAAUGAAACCAAGUAUCAAUAUAUGUGUGCAUAAAUCAGAACAGAAGACCACCUUUGUUAACUCUUGUGGGAUCAUGUAUGUUACAUUCUUGUCUUUACCUUUCUGUGUGUUAUGAUCUUUAUAAGACAUGUGAUACGAAUGACUAGUUGAUCAGUGGUAGAAGAGGAUGACCAAUGCUAGGCAUUUUAACCCCUGGGAUGCGGUCCUCAUAAUUACACAAAUUGGGAUCGGCCCAUGCUAGGCUUUCUCCCUUGAGCUGCCACUCUUCUAUACCAAUUGGGAUCGUCCCAUGCUAGGUUGUCGCCCCUGAGCUGCCACCCUUAAUUAUACAAAUUGCUUUGCUUAGAUUAUUUAAUCUUUGAGAUUGUUGUUUUGGUGGUCAUAAUCAUUUUUUAUAUUUGGAAUUACGGACCAGUAGUAGAAGACAUGAAAAUAAUGCCUCAAGGCAGUAACAAUGACAUAAGGAGCUAUGUAACAUCAAUGCAUUACUUGUGAGCUUAAAUGACACAAUUCACUUCAAUUGACUAAGAGGAGGAUUCACCAAACUUGCUUUUGCAAAUACCAUUUCUAUACCAACACAUAGGAGGAUAAUUACACAAGUAUAGAGUACUAAACAUAUAAUAAAGUAAUUCUAUACACUAAGGAGAGGGGGAAAUAUUGUUAGCUAUUUGGAGAUCGUUCAUUGCUACUAUGUUGCCUUUGCUAGGAAUAGNNNNNNNNNNNNNNNNNNNNNNNNNNNNNNNNNNNNNNNNNNNNNNNNNNNNNNNNNNNNNNNNNNNNNNNNNNNNNNNNNNNNNNNNNNNNNNNAGCUAUCACACUGUGAGCCUCAUAAAACAGUAUAUAACUUAACAUAUAAUGACCCCGUACAGCCCUCAAAAUAAUGUGUAUCACCACACCCUCCUUCUCUGCCCAAUACAUACAUUAUCUAUCCUUUUCCAAGAUUACCCAAGCCUCACCAACAACAAUACACAUAAAACAACCUCAAAUAUUCUUUAUCAUACAUACAACCAAUUAAUGAACUCACCACCCCCAUGAGUUCUUUAUGACAGCACACCCAUAAUUCCUCACUCAUACAUAAGGAGGACAAAAGAAAAGAGCAGUCACCUUACCUUAAUUUAUGCAACUUUCCCUUUUAACUUAGAAUCUUCAAGAACUUCAACUUCCCUUCACACUUAAACCAAAGAAGAAGAGAAAAGUAUCUUAAUAACCAAGGAAGUGAAUAGUAGCUUCUGGAAAUAUUAUGCCUUUAUACUUAUACUUGAGCAUGAAUAAUAUGUUUUCCUAAUCAUCCAUGGGAGAAUUAAGCUAAAUCCAUAAGUGUUUUCACAUACCUUGUCCUGCAGAGAUGAGGGUUUCUUCAGGAACCCUAGAAGAACUUUAAGGUUGUUGUUUUAAUCCUUAAGAGAAAAGAGAGAGAGAGCUGGAGUUAAUCCUCAAUAUUGUGUGUUAAAAUGAGUGAGAAUAGCAGCCUAUAUAUCUUAUAUUGAGCUUUCUUCACCUUUAAGAAUAUCCUUUAGAAAGAUUCAUUUUCAGCCACUAAUUGGUCAAGUAGGUGAUGCACCUGCUUAUGUACAUCAAGCAGCUCAAAAGGUCAAACUAGGUGAUGCACCUACUUGCUUUCACUUGGGCUUAAAUAUUGGGCCUUGACAUAUUUGGCUACUAGGAUUAAAUUUCAUUUUCCUUUUAUUUAACUUAGUUUGGGCCUCAAGAGAGUCCAUUAGCAUAGACCCAAAUCUGAUCCAUAAACCUUGGCCUUUUAAACUAGAUCCAUAUAGAUCAAGUAGGUGAUGCACCUACUUAGUCCUUUGGUCUGGUCAAUAAGUCAAAGUAGGUGAUGCACCUACUUGUCACCUACUAGCUUAGUUAAGUCAAGCAAGCAGCUCACNNNNNNNNNNNNNNNNNNNNNNNNNNNNNNNNNNNNNNNNNNNNNNNNNNNNNNNNNNNNNNNNNNNNNNNNNNNNNNNNNNCUUUUGCUUUAACUUAGCACUUAACUUUUAACUUUAAGCUCAAUUACCACCUUACUGUCUCUUUAAAAACACCCGUUGGAGUUAAGUUGCAGUACACAUGUUGAAACGUGCAAGGCAUCACAUCACCUUCUGAGCUAGUUUAAACCAACACUAAUCAUAUAAGAAACCUGGUCCCUCACCUAUACUAUAAAGCUAUGUCAAGUAUCACAAGAAUAUAACAAACAUAUGCGUAAUACGGGUUGUUACAUCAUUCCCCCCUUAAAAUAUUCGUCCUCAAAUGUUAGCAUGGUUAUCCAGCCCAAACAGGUUCAAGCCUACUGUAGUACUACUAAUAAUCACAUAAUACAUAUAGACUUAUACUUACUUGUCAACACCUCAAUUACACAUCUUCAUCUUCUCAUCGAUCUGAAAGAGAUGAGGAUACUUCAAUUUCAUUUCUUCUUCCGCUUCCUAUGUAAUUUCUUCUACUUGUUGGUUCCUCCAUAAUACUUUUAUAGAAGCUACUUAUUUAUUUCUUAACUUCCUAACUUGUCGAUCCAGAAUAGCAAUGUGUACUUCUUCAUAAGUGAGAUCUCUCGUAACCUGUACAUCUUCAGUAGGAGUAAUACUAGAUGGGUCACCUAUGUAUUUUCGAAGCAUUGAGACAUGAAACACCGGAUGAACGGUUGAAAGCUCUUGAGGUAACUCUAACUCAUACGCAACUGCCAAUUCUCGGAUAACCUUAUAUGGCCCUAUAUAGUGUGGACUCAACUUCCCUUUUUACCAAACCUCAUACCCUUUCAUUGGUAACACCUUCAAGAACACCCAAUCCCCUAUAGAAAAUUCCAGUCCUCUCCUUCUAACAUCUGCAUAUGAUUUAUGUCGACUUUGAGUUAUUUCUAGUCGUUGUUGUAUCACUUUGACUUUUUCCAUAGCUUGAUGAACAAGAUCUGGCCCAAAUAAGGCAGUUUCACUUGUUUCGAACCAGCCAAUUGGGGAUCUAUAUUUUCUACCAUAUAAAGUUUCAUAAGGUGCCAUUUUAAUACUUGAAUGGUAGUUAUUGUUGUAUGCAAACUUGAUCAAUGGCAAAUGAUCAUCCUGUUGACCUUUGAAGUCCAAUAUACAAUCUCACAGCAUAUCCUCAAGUGUUUGAAUUGUAUGCUCUGCCUGACCGUCUAUUUGGGGGUGAAAGGUUGUACUUAAAUUUACUUGUGUGCCCAAACUCUUUUGAAAUGACGUCCAAAAAUUUGUAGUGAAUUAAGCUCCCCUAUCAGAUAAAAUAGAGAUUGGCACUCCAUGUAGACGAACUAUCUCUUUAAUAUACAACCUCGCAUAUUCUUCAACUGUAUAAGUAGUCUUGACCGGCAGGAAGUGCGUUGAUUUGGUCAGUCUAUCAACAAUUACCCAUAUAGAAUCAAACUUCUGAAAUGAACGAGGCAAACUAGUGACAAAAUCCUUGUUGACCAUGUCCCACUUCCAAAUUGGAAGUUCUAUACACUGCAUAUAACCUCUGGGCUUUUGGUGCUCUACUUUUACUUGUUGACAAUUUGGACAUUGAGCCAUGAAUUCUGCAAUGUUCUUCUUCAUGUCCCCCCACCAAUAUAUUUCUUUCAAGUCAUGAUACAUUUUAGUUGACCCUGCAUGAACAGAAUAUCUCAAAUGAUGUGCUUCCAUCAUAAUCCUCUUUCUCAAUUCANNNNNNNNNNNNNNNNNNNNNNNNNNNNNNNNNNNNNNNNNNNNNNNNNNNNNNNNNNNNNNNNNNNNNNNNNNNNNNNNNNNNNNNNNNNNNNNNNNNNNNNNNNNNNNNNNNNNNNNNNNNNNNNNNNNNNNNNNNNNNNGCAUCAGCUACUACAUUUGCUUUCCCGGGAUGAUACAAGAUAUCCAUGUCAUAAUUUUUUAAUAGCUCCAGCCAUCUUCGUUGCCUCAGAUUUAGGUCCUUUUGCUUAAACUUCUAUUGCAAACUCUUGUGAUCAGUGUAUAUGUCAACAUGAACUCCAUAUAAGUAGUGGCGUCAUAUCUUCGAAGCAAAGACAACUGCUGUUAGCUCUAGAUCAUGAGUUGGAUAAUUUUUCUCAUGUGGCCGCAAAGCCAUAAGCUAUUACUUUACCAUGCUGCAUCAAUACACAUCCUCGGCCCACUCCCAAAGCAUCACAAUACACUGCAUACCCUUCUGUCCCUUCUGGAAGUACCAAUACAGGUGUAGAAGUUAAUUUAUUCCUUAGCUCUUGGUUUCACAUUCAUCACUCCACUGAAACUUGGUUUAUUUGUGUGUUAGCUUUGUUAAGGGUGCAUCAAUGGAAGAGAAUCCUUCAACGAACCUUCUGUAAUAACCUGCCAAUCCAAGGACACUACGAAUCUCCGUAGGCGUUGUAGGUCUUCACCAGUUUUUCACGGCUUCUAUCUUCUGGUUAUCAACCCUUAUUCCUUCAUCGGAUACAAUAUGACCUAAGAAUGCCACAGAUUUCAACCAGAACUCACAUUUAGAAAACUUCGCAUACAACUUACGAUCAGGAAAAAAUUGUAAAACCUGCUGCAAGUGAUUAGCAUGGUCAUCUUCCGAUCUUGAAUACACCAAAAUGUCAUCUAUGAAUACUAUCAUGAACACAUCUAGAAAUGGCUUGAAUACCCUAUUCAUCAAAUCCAUAAAAGUUGUUGGUGCAUUUGUUAUCCCCAAUGACAUGACUAAAAACUCAAAAUGACCAUACCGUGUUCGGAAAGCUGUCUUGGGAAUAUCUUUGUCUUUGACCCUUACUUAGUGAUACCCCGACCUCAAGUCGAUCUUUGAAAUAUACUUAGCACCUUGUAACUGAUCAAACAAAUCAUCAAUUCUAGAAAGGGGAUAUUGUUUUUAAUCGUUACCUUAUUCAACUGCCGGUAGUCGAUACACAUUCUUAACGAGCCAUCUUUCUUGUGUACAAAUAAAAAUGGUGCUCCUCAUGGGGACAUACUAGGCCUUAUGAAUCCUUUUUCUAAUAAGUCUUUUAAUUGCUCCUUCAACUCCCGUAAUUCUGUCGGGGCCAUUCUAUAUGGAGGGAUGGAUAUAGGUUGAGUAUCUGGAAUCACAUCAAUACCAAACUCUACUUCUCGUUCUGGAGGCAAACCCGGAAGAUCUUCAAGAAAUACAUCGGGAAAUUCAUUCACCACUGGAAUGGGUUGAAGAGUUGGUGGCUCCGCAUCUAUAUUUUUCACUCUCACUAGAUGACAUAUGUUUCCUUUGGACAUCAUCUUCUUUGCCUUAAGAUAAGAAACAAAUUUACCUCUUGGUGUCCCAAUAUUACCUUUCCAUUCAAGGGCAACCUCUUUUGGAAAAUGGAAAUACACCAUCUUAGUUCGGCAAUCUACAGUUGCAUAACAAGAAGCUAACCAAUCCAUACCCAUUAUAACACCAAAAUCCACCAUUUCUAGCUCAACAAGGUCAGCCAAUGUAUCACGAUCACAAACAAUUACAAUGCAAUUACGAUAAACCCUUCUAGCUAUAAUAGACUCACCAAUCGGUGUAGACACUUCAAAUGGCUUCACUAAUAAUUCUGGUGUUCUUUUGAACUUUUCAACAAUCAAUGGAGUAACAUAUGAUAAUAUAGACAUGUACCUGUAACCACAUCCGGCGAGGCUUCUAAAUUUUGUCGAUCCUUGAGAGCAUAUGUGUGAUUCUGAACUCUACUAGAACUAGUUGCUCCCCUAGCUCCUCUACCACUACCAGUAGGCAUCUGUCCCCUACCUAAAGAAGGUGCUGAUAAUGAGGAUGCAUCAACUGAUCUAGUAGAUUGUGUCACACCACCCACACCCCUAUGAGGGCAAUUUCUCAUCAUAUGACCCAGUGUACCACACCAAAAAUAAACAUUUGUCACAAACUGACAUGCGCCUAAAUGAUUUCUUCCACAUUGUUUACAAGACUGUCGAGGAGGUCUUGAUUGGCUCAUACUUCUCUGCUCUUGGUACUCUAUUGUUCGUGAACCUUGGCUUUCACCUCUUUUGCCCAAACUGAUUACCCCUAGAUUCUUGAAAUUGAGGUGGGGCACUAGCUGUAGAGUAGGAAGAAGAUGGCCUAGGCGGUAUGUUAAAGAACCGAGGCCUAAACUCACCUUGGGAUGGUGUAAACUACCCCAUGGAUCUGGCCCUCAUAGAAUGCCCUGUUUUUGACUCUUGUGUCCUUCUUCUUUGCCUUUGAUCCUCCAACUUUUGCGCAAAAGCUUGCAUUCUUGCUAUGUCUAUAUAUUUAUUCAAUGAAGCAAUGGUACAAUCUCUAACCAGAUAUGAAUCUAAUCUAUCCACAUAUUGAUGAACUCUAUCCUCCAUAGUAGCUACUACAUUAGGAGCAUACCUGGACAAGGAAUUAAAUUUGAGAUUGUACUCUCUCACGCUCAUACUUCCUUGGUGGAGAUUUAAGAACUGAUCCGCACGGGCCUCGCAGAUCUCUAAUGGCAGGUAAUGGUCAAGGAAUGCCUUUUUGAACUCUUUCUAUGUAGCUGAAGGUGCAUCUGUUCCCCUAGAUUUCUUCCAAGCUUCAUAGCACAAUAUAGCCACACCCUUUAAUCUAUAUGCUGCUAGCUCGAGCGCUUCUUUACCACUUACAUGCAUAACAUCGAAAGUGUGUUGGAUCUAAUCUAUAAAGUCCUGUGGAUCUUCAUUAGGAUCUGACCGGUGAAUGAUGAAGGGUCCAAAUUAAGGAAAUCAUGUAUCCGCGUGCCAACUGCUCUAUCUACACCACUAGUACCCGCAACUAGACCUUCUUGCCUUUGGCCAUGGCCAGUAACUAUACGAGUCAAUAAUUGGACUGCAUUCCUCAAAUCUUGCUCGGUAGCAUUAAUAAGGCGUUCUUGAGGUGCAGCUUCCCUCCUUAGAUCUUCUGGAGAUGGAGGGGUCGGGGAAGUCUAUGAUAAAGACUCAUCUUGAGCCUCACCUUGAACAACUUGACUAGGUGGUGGUUGGCUGGUCCCUUCUUGGGCAGCCACAUCUACUCGUUUACCAGUACUUUUACUCCUUCUUGUAACCGGCAUCUUUGCUAUAAUAAAACAAUUUAGAAAUUAGAUAUGAUUCACCUACAACACUGGUUCCAUCGCAUGAUCUAAGAAAUGAAAGAAAAGAAACAACUCAUAUAUGUCCCGUAGCCUCCUAUUUAUAAAUGAGGUGCACAACACAUCCAUAAGCAAGACUCUACACUUUUGUAGACAUCCUAGGAUGACCUGCUCUGAUACCACUUUUGUCACGCCUCAAAUCCCAUGGACACGGACAGGCACCCGAUGCCCUCAAGGACCAAGAGAACCAACAUGUAACUUAUGCUUACUAUGCUUAUAACUAUGACACUCUUGUGACAAGUUCACAUAAAAUUCAGCGAUACGAACAAACAUAAGUAGAUCCAAAACAUAUAUACAAGACUUGGCCGUUGAGGCCACAACUUGUUAAGACCCAACUAAACCAUAUACAUAAGUCUACAAAGUCUCUAAAAGAUAGAAAUCCUUAGAGUAGGCCGGGACAAACCCCGCCUUACUCUUAACUACGAUACAAUACCAAAUUGAAUCUACCAAGGACUUAGUAAAGCUCCGAAUCAAUCUGGAGCUCACCAAAAGUAGCUGAAUAUCGUGUACUCCUACUGAGGAGGUACACUAGUUGAAGUACCUGUGCCUGCAGCAUGAAAUGCAGCGUCCCCUGCGAGGGACGUCAGUACGAGGAAAUGUACUGAAUAUGUAAGGCAAUAACAUAUAUAAAAUAAGACUUCGAAUGAAACCAAGUAUCAAUAUAUGUGUGCAUAAAUCAGAACAGAAGACCACCUUUGUUAACUUUUGUGGGAUCAUGUACGUUACAUUCUUGUCUUUACCUUUCUGUGUGUUAUAAUCUUUAUAAGGCAUGUGAUAUAAAUGACCAGCUGAUCAGUGGUAGAAGAGGAUGACCCAUGCUAGGAAUUUUAACCCCUGGGAUGCGGUUCUCAUAAUUACACAACUUGGGAUCGGCUCAUGCUAGGCUUUCGCCCCUGAGCUGCCACCCUUCUAUACCAAUUGGGAUCGGCCCAUGCUAGGCUUUCUCCCCUGAGCUGCCACCCUUAAUUAUACAGAUUGCUUUACUUAGAUUCUUUAAUCUUUGAGAUUGUUGUUUUGGUGGUCAUAAUCAUUUUUUAUAUUUGGAACAACGGACCAGUAGUAGAAGACAUGAAAAUAAUACUUCAAGGCAGUAACAAUGACAUAAGGAGCUAUGUAACAUCAAUGCAUUACUUGUGAGCUAAAAUAAUACGAUUGACUUCAACUGACUAAGAGAAGGAUUCACCAAACUUGCUUUUGCAAAUACCAUUUCUAUACCAACACAUAGGAGCAUAAUUACACAAGUAUAGAGUAGUGAACAUAUAAUGAAGUAAUUCUAUACACUAAGGAGAGAGGGAAAUAUUGUCAGCUAUUUGGAGAUCGUACGUUGCCACUAUGUUUCCUUUACUAGGAAUAGAACUUAGGAAAUUCACUUAUUGAUAUUAAUCGCAAGUAUCAGAUUUCAUGCCGAAGAAUAUUGAAUCGAAUAGCCUUACAUACCUUAUCCUCUGACCAAUACAACUAUCACGAUUCACCCUCCCCUUUUAAGUUUUAAUCUACAAUAUAAGUCAUGAUAAACUAAAAUUAGCAGCUAUCACAUUGUGAGCCUCAUAAAACAGUAUAUAACUUAACAGAUAAUGACCCCGUACAGCCCUCAAAAUAAUGUGCAUCACCACACCCUCCUUCUCUGCCCAAUACAUACAUUAUAUAUCCUUUUCCAAAAUUACCCAAGCCGCACAAACAACAAUACACAUAAAACAGCCUCAAAUAUUCUUUAUCAUACAUACAACCAAUUAUUGAACUCAUCACCCCCAUGAGUUCUUUAUGACAUCACACCCAUAAUUCCUCACUCAUACAUAAGGAGGACAAAAGAAAAGAGCAGUCACCUUACCUUAAUUUAUGCAGCUUUCCCUUUUAACUUGGAAUCUUCAAGAACUUCAACUUCCCUUCACACUUAAACUAAAGAAGAAGAGAAAAGUAUCUUAAUAACCAAGGAAGUGAAUAGUAGCUUCUGGAAAUACGAUGCCUUUAUACUUAUACUUGAGCAUGAAUAACAUAUUUUCCUUAUCAUCCAUGGGAGAAUUAAGCUAAAUCCAUAAGUGUUUUCACUUACCUUGUCCUGUAGAGAUGAGGGUUCUUUCAAGAACCCUAGAAGAACUUUAAGGUUGCUGUUUUAAUCCUUAAGAGAAAAGAGAGAGAGAGAGAGCUGGAGUUAAUCCUCAAUAUUGUGUGUUAAAAUGAGUGAGAAUAGCAGCCAAUAUAUCUUAUAUUGAGCUUUCUUCACCUUUAAGAAUAUCCUCUAGAAAGCUUCAUUUUCAGCCACUAAUUGGUCAAGUAGGUGAUGCACCUGCUUAUGUACAUCAAGCAGCUCAAAAGGUCAAACUAGGUGAUGCACCUACUUGCUUUCACUUGGGCUUAAAUAUUGGGCCUUGACAGAUUUGGCUACUAAGAUUAAAUUUCAUUUUCCUUUUAUUUAACCUAGUUUGGGCCUCAAGUGAGUCCAUUAGCAUAGGCCCAAAUCUGAUCCAUAAACCUUGGCCUUUUAAACUAGAUACAUAUAGCUCAAGUAGGUGAUGCACCUACUUGUCACCUGCUAGCUUAGUUAAGUCAAGAAAGCAUCUCACUUAUUUUAUUCUAUUUUCUAAAUAUUAAUCCUUUUUGCUUUAACUUAGCACUUAACUUUCAACUUUAAGCUCAAUUACCACCUUACUGUCUCUUUAAAUACUCCAGUUGCAGUACACAUGUUGAAACGUCCAAGGCAUCACAUCACCUUCCGAGCUAGUUUAAACCAACAUUAAUCAUAUAAGAAUCAUGGUCCCUUACCUAUAGUAUUAGACUAUGUCAAGUAUCACAAGAAUAUAACAAACAUAUGCGUAAUACAGGCUGUUACACAAAGCCUACUUGUGCGAUGCAUGGAUGGCAUCCCAUAUUACCAUCCACACUAAGUAGUGCAUUCUUGAGAAACCAUAGUUCAUUAACAUUCUUUGUGGGGGUAAGCCUUAACCGACAUAGACCAUGUGAGCAAUUCAUAGAAUAUCGGUGUCACCCUCACCGUAUAAGGGAUUCUUACUUGCCUAAGGUAUGACCAUUACUUUUAUCUUAGGUGGAUCCACUAGCUAAUAUCCUAUGUGGGCUCAUAGUUAUGGGGAUAAGGAGAUUGCUACUAGACACCCCGUCUCAACUCACGGAUGAGCAUCCAUCCCAAGAGAUUGCUACUGGACACCCUGCCUCAACUCACGGAUGAGCAUCCAUCUCAAUUCAUAUCCACUCGGUGCGUAGCAUUAUUCCCCACGGAGUACUUAACAUUAAUUACUUUCGUUCAUUAUUAUGGGAUAAGAGAUUGCUACUAGAUACCCCACCUCAACUCACGGUUGAGUAUCCAUCUCCAACCCAACAUUCAUUCAUUUGAUAGCUCAUAGAUUCAAAGAUGAGAAUAGCCUUUCAACUAAGAAUCCCAUAUUAUGAGAGAGUCCUUUCACAACAUGUCAUUACUAUUCAUUAGUGUAAAACUGAGAAUAGCCUUUCAAUCAACACAUCAUCAUUAACAUAAUCAUAGAAACAUCAUUCAUAUAUUCAUUCAUGAGUGUGUAUGUGAUAAUAACCUUUCACAUAUAUCAUCUUCAUUCAUAAGAGUUAAAUUGAGAAUAAGCUUUCAAUACUAACACAAUUCCAUUCUAAACAUGAUCAUAAUAUAUUCAUUGAGAUCACACACAUAUACUUCACAUCAUGAUCCUUCAUAAAAAUGCCCUCCAAGGCCAUACAUCAAUCACAACCCAAACAUAUAAGAUACUACAAUAGAUAAGGGAAUUAACAUGAUUCAAUAACUAAUUCAAUAUAAACAUAAACAACCCAACAUACUUUCAUGAUCCAUCAAUUCCCAAUCACAAUUCACAACUUAAGAAUUUUGGGGGAAAACAUGGGUUCAUAGAAGAAAUCAUCUUAAUUAACCAUUAAUUCAACAUUCUAUUCAUAAUUCAUCAUAUAAAAGCUUUUGAAAUCGUUUUGGAAUUGAACCCAUGCAUAGAUUCAAAACUAGUGUUUUUGGGGAACUUUGGAGACUUGAAAUCAUCAUUGACAUUGGCUCCUUGAAAUAAACUAAGUCAAGGAAGAAGACUACCAUACCUUUAGGGAAGAAACUCCACAAAAAUUUCUUGAGAAAGUUGAAAACUUGACCUUGAAAGCUUGACUCCUUUAUCUCCAAUGGAAGUUUCUAGAGAGAGAACUUUUGGAGAGGAGGGAAGGUUUCUAAUUUGGUGUUUUGAAAUAAUGAAUUGGAAAGGAGUUUUAAUACCUUUAAAAGCCUUAAAAUACAUAAAUAAAUCAAUAAUAACAGUCCCCCAACUAAACUAACUUUAAAAGGAGUUUACUAAACUAACCCCUCACUUGGCUGAAUAUGGACAGCAAAGAGGUGUCAUUGACGCCCCCUGACCUAUGGACCGUAGGUGGGGUGACGCUCCAUCCUGCACGUCCGUGGGUCAGGUCUGAAACUUGUCAUUUUGGGUCCCUGACCUACGUACCAAGCCCUACGGGGCGUGGAUGGACCUAAGGGGCUUAGGUCCCAUCCGUAGGUCCUCAUUUUUUUACGGCUUUUUGGUUCUUGGGCAGCUUUGGGGGUUAGACUUUAGGGUCCUCCUCAAGGACCCCUUGGUUGAUCCUUGGGGAGUCGUACCUUGACGUUUAACCCCUAAACCCCUCAACCAAAGCUCGGGACAAUAUUUUACAACCUCAAACCUCACAUCUACUCAAAGACAAACUCGUUAGGCUCUAGUUUUACCUAUUCAUUUUCCGGGUUGUUACAAACUCGUAUAGAACAUACCGGUGCAGCAUCGAAGCAUGGAAUACGGGAUGGAUAGCAAAGCUAACUCAUAGGCAACCUCAUCAACUGUUCUCAAAAUCUCAAAAGGCCCAAUAUAUCUGGGGCUAAGCUUGCCCCGCCUCCCAAAUCUCAUCACGCCCUUCAUGGGCAAUACUCGAAGGAAUACUCUAUCACCAACGGCAAAUCUCAACGGCCGAUGCCUACGAUCCAUGUAACUCUGGUGUCUACUCUGAGCUUUCCUGAGCCUAUCCUGAAUCCCCUUCACAUGAUUUAAAGACUCCUAAAGCAAGUGUGUGCCGCGUGGCCUAGGCUCCGUAGACUCAAACCAACCAACCAACCAGAGAGCGACAACGCCUACCAUAUAAGGCCUUGAACAGGGCCAUUUGAAUACUAGAGUGGUAGAUGUUGUUGUUUGCUAACUCCGCCAAGGGUAAAAACUAGUCCCACUAACCUCCAAAGUACAUGACACAGGCCCGCAAUAUAUUCUCAAGGACCUGAAUAGUGCGCUCCGACUAGCUAUCAAUCUGCGGAUGAAAUGUUGUGCUAAGGUCGACACAGGUCCCUAACUCCUCCUGAAUGACCCUCCAAAAGCUGAAAGAAAAUUGUGAAUCCCUGUAUGAAAUGAUAGAAACAGACACACCAUGAAGACGAACCACCUCCCGAAUGUUGAUAUGAGCCAAUCUCUCAGCACUGAAGGAAGUGUGAACGGGGAGGAAGUGUGCUGACUUGGUCAAUCGAUCCACGAUGAACCCAAAUGUUGUCAACACCCCUGUAAAUCCUAGGCAAGCCCACAACAAAGUCCAUGGUGAUACGCUCCCAUUUCCAUUGUGGAAUGGCUAAUCUCUGAAACUCACCACCAGGCCUCAAAUGCUCGGCAUUCACCUAUUGGCAACACAGGCAACGGGACACAUAGUCUGAGAUAUCUCUCCUCAUACCGCUCCACCAAUAAUGCUGCCUCAAGUCACAAUACAUCUUAGCGAUGCCCGGAUGGAUGGAAUAUCUGGAAUCAUGGGCCUUGCUAAGGAUCAACUGAUCAAACCCCCAACUUUUGGAACACAUAAUCAGUCGUCAAACCUCAACACCCCAUCUAAAUCUAAAGUAGUCGGCCCAGCAUCACCUGCCAAUACUCUUUCUCUGAGUGCCACCAAAGAUUAUUCCUCGAACUAUCACCCACGGAUCCGAUCUAACAAAGAUGACUGAACCCCACAUGAUCUAACACCCGUCUGGAAUCUGAAAGAUCGAGUCGGAUCAUCUUGUUGGCUAAGGAGUGGAUGUCCAAACCCAAAGGCCGCUUCGAAAUAGAAAGGAAGGCUAGACUACCCAUACUCACUGUCUUCCGGCUCAAGGCGUCCGCUACUACAUUCGCCUUGCCCCGGAUGGUAGAGAAUAGAGAGGUCAUAGUCCUUCAGGAGAUCAAUCCAAUGGCACUACCUCGAAUUAAGAUCCCUCUGGCUCAUAAUGUACUGAAAGCUCCGGUGGUCGGUGUAGAUCUCACAACGCACUCCAUAUAGGUAGUGGGGUACCGCCGCGCGAAAACUACCGUCGCCAACUCUAAGUCAUGAGUGGGGUAGUUUCUCUCAUGCAGCUUAAGCUGCCUCGAUGCAUAAGAAAUAAAUCGGCCCUGCUGCAUCAAAACACAACCAAAUCAACGCAUGAUGUGUCACAAUAAACCAUGAAUGCCUCGUCCUCAACUGGAAGAGUCAAUAUAGGAACGGUGGUAAGCAACUCCUUGAGCCUCAAAAAGCUCCUCUCACACUCCUCCGACCACUCAAAGGGAACAUCCUGGUGAGUCAACCGAGUCAAAGGUGCCGCUAUAGUAGAAAAGCCCUCAAUCUGACGAAGCUACGAAUCUCAGUCAUAGAGGUGGGGCUGGCCUAGUCACGGUGUCACGAACCGAUUCCUCGAGUCAUUAUGGCGCCUACUAUAACCCAUUAGUAGGCAAGCCAAUUCGUAUCCCGGAACAACUAGUAAUGAGAUUGAGGAUAAAAAACUAAACCCGACAUCACAAUAAUAACAACAUCAAUCACAAAUGGAAGGGCAGAAGCAAGCCAAAACUAUAUAAAAAUAAAAGAUCCCUCCCAGAACAUGGACGUCACAAGUACAGAGCUACUAACAAAAUGAGUACAAGUCCCAAAAGUGAACCACAGAAACAAGACUAUCUCAAAAAGUAAAAGACAAGUCAAUAUAUAAAUACAAAAAGAGACGGGCAAAUCCAGGAUGCUAUGUGGUCACCCUCACCUCCUAAUAUGACUACAGCUGGCUCAAAAUCAACGCUGAUAGCUGGUGCUUGGAACUGCAUCACGAAAACAAAUACAGAGUGUAGUAUGAGUACCAAAAUGAUAGGUACCCAGUAGGCAUCAUAGGCCUACUAAGCAAGAAAGGAAAAAGUAAUGUGAAAUGUGAGAAUCUAGCAUACUAACAAAAAUAAGUAGGAGGGAACAUCUAAUAGUUAUGUAAACGAGCGUACUCACACAUAAAGAAAAGAAAAGUAACUAACUAAAUCUAAUCCGGCUUCUAUAAACUCGGCGGGUACGCUCGUGAACAAUAUGAAAGUAAAACCCGAACGGACUCCCAUAAGCCUGACAGGUGCAAAAAAGGGAGAGUUGAAUUAAAGUAAGAGAAUUCGAUGAAUUUUCCAAGAUUACCACAACUUUUCAGACUUGAACUGAACUAAUACAUGUGCCCGAAACUUACCCAGAGCUAAUAGGGAAAUAAGGAAUUGAACUGAAUAAAGAUGAAGGAUCAAGGACUUGAACUGAGAUUUGGAGUAACCUAGGACUUGAACCAAGGCUAAGGAUAAUUGUGGACUUGAACCAUAUAAAAUAUGAUCAAGGACUUGAACCGAGGUUAAGGAUAAUUGUGGAAUUGAACAACCUAAAAUAUGACCAAGGACUUGAACUGAGGUUAAGGUAGCUAUGGACUUGACCAAAGCUAAAAGUGGUGGUGGACUUGAACCACGACGAUAUUUACCAAGGCAGGGACUUGAACCAUGCUCAGUGUGGGAACUGGAGACUUGAACUACGAGUUGAGGUGAGUCGGUUAGAAAUAGGAUCAGCUUUCAACCGAGCAUCAUGGGGAGUACCCUCAAACCGAGUGCUAUUAAUAAAUCACUCCAGCCCAAAUCGUAUCCAACCAGAAUCGUCGAGUAGCUUCCAAACAAAUUAUUCGAAUACAUCAGAACCAAUGGGACAAGGAAUUAUAGAUGUAAGGUUCCAAGAGCGGUGUUACUAUCUGGCUAAGGCCCAGACUCAAGUCUGCUAUAUCAGUCUACAGGGAGUUAGGUCAUCCGAAGCGACGUCGGAGAGGUUUCAAGGCCUAAUAACUCUAAAAUACGCAAGUCUAUGGCAAUCGCUAGUAUAAGCCUAGACUAAGGCCAAACAUGCUUUCAAAUAUACACACAAGCCAUAAAAAGGGCGCACCACAAGGUACAGAUGAUCAAUAAAUACAUUAGACAUGCUUCAGUAACCCGGAGUACCCGAAAUUAGAGAUUAAGUCAUGGUUUCUAGGAAUUUAGCGUGCUCAACCACCAAUUACCUCCAAAAUCACAAAAAUCAACAUGCAAAUGCUAAAUCAUGCUCAAUCUAAGGGGAGGGAAGUCGUAGCAUACCUUUAGGCCGACCGCAAGCGCUCCAAACCACUUCGCCGGAGCUUUUCCUUCCCGAACGACUUUUGAACGAUGUUACACUAUCAAAUACAGGAUCACAACGUUAGUACGGUCGUUUAGAAACCAAAAUCACAACAAACAGAGAUAGGUCAAUUUUGGAGUCGAAAUGGAAAUCGUGGGACCCGCACCGAACUUUCUGGAUUUGACUCCACCAAAAGACCCAAAACAGUACCCCCAAACUUGUGUUACAAAAUGGAGCACAAUUUGGGGCAGAAAAUCCCAACAUGCGAAAAAACCACACUUUAACUAACUUAAAAAGAAAGCAUGCAGCAUGUAAAACUCAGAAUUUAUAAGAAUCGAAGGGUACCCAGCACUCCCUGAAUACUCUACGAUGUAGCCUCGAUAAUUCUUGACACGUGGGACUUUGAAUCACCCAAAACCGAGCUAAAAGGAGCAAGAUAUCACCAAUUCAAGAAAGCCAACAACAAGAACUCGAAAUAGGGCUAAGCAGUCUGGUUUAUCGCAAUUUUUACCUUGAACGACGCGUACCCAACAACUUCCGAUUAAUCUACAGCGAAGAUAUGAAAAAACAAAGCUCCCGCACUUUGAAUUUCCUUAUUUGGCCAAGAAAUGAGGGAGAUAUGAGCUUUUAAAGGUUUCAAAAAUUGUACUGAUUUUCUGCUAUAUAAACCAGAUUUCAGCCCUUUUUUUUCGAAAACUUCAAAUCUCCGACGGGGAGCUCAGAACUCGUUCGGAACCCCGUGCACGCAAACGAGAUAUGCAGCCAAACCAAAUUUGAUAUUCUGGACUCAAUGGCAUAAUCAAAAUUUCCAUUCGAGGUCAUCUUGACAAAACUGGGUCCCACACCCAACCGCUAUUUUAAGUCAACAACCACAAAGGGGAUUGGAAAAAGCUCAGAAUCCUCGGGACACGAACGAAGGGUCAAUAUAGACCAAACUCGACAUUCCGGAGGUAACCGCGAUGACAAAAUUCUCAUCCGAGCGCGUUUGCUCAGAAUGUUGACUAAAGUCAAACUUAGGCUUAAACUUAAAGUUAAAACGUCUAAUCGCACGGACUCACACGGAAAACCUUAGGAGUCAUGCCUACCAUGCUACUAGCCUAAAAUGACCCUUACGAAGCUAAUGGAAUCGUCAGAAUUGGAUUCCGAUGCCAUCUUCUUGAACUUUUGAUCAAAAAUGAUCGUCCAAGGUUCAUCAGCUCCAAAAAUACUAGACUCGCAUAAAUACCAAAUGAACGACCAGGUGACCAAAAUGUCAGUCCCAGUAAGUCGUAAAUGAAUUGGGGUUGCUACAGUAACACUCUAAACGACACACAGAAGGCAAAACACAGAAAUGACAAGGAGGGUCAUUAAAACAUCCACUACUAAAAAGGAUUUUCGUCCGCGAAAGUAAGGGUCAAGAAGUACCUGAAGGCUCAAACAAGCCAGGAAACUGCUCUCGCAUCUCCUGCUCGGUCUCCCAGGUAGCCUCCUCGACUGGACAAUGCCUCCAACAGAACUUAACAACAAGAAUGGCUCUCAAGUGCAAUCUCCUCACAUCUCUAGCUAGAAUGGCAACUGGUUCCUCUACAAAUGUCAAACGGUCAUCCAACUCUACUGCAUCAUACUGGAGCACAUGGGACUCAUCAGGAACAUACCGGCGCAACAUCGAGACAUGGAAAACCGGGUGAAUGGCUGAAAAUGCUGGAGGUAGGGCCAACUCAUAAGCAACCCCCCAACUGUCUGAAGUAUCUCAAAAGGCCCAAUGUACUUGGGGCAAAGCUUGCCCCCGCCUCCGAAACCUCAUCACGCCCUUCAUGGACGACACAUAGAGAAAUACCUGAUCACCAACAGAGAAUCUCAAAGGUCGACGCCUCCGAUCCGCAUAACUUUUGUGCCUACUUUGAGCCGUUCGGAGUCUAUCCUGAAUCACACUCACCUGGUCCAUAGCUUCCUGCAGCCUAGGCUUUGUAGAGUCAAACCAUCCCACCGGAGAGCGACAAAGCCUACCAUACAAGGCCUCAAAUGGGGCCAUCUAAAUACUAGAAUGGUAGUUGUUAUUAUACGCAAACUCCACCAAAGGAACGAACUAGUCCCAAUGACCACCAAACUCCAGAACACAUGCCCGCAGCAUGUCCUAAAUGACCUGAAUAGUACGCUACGACUGACCAUCAGUCUGCGGGUGGAAAGUUGUGCUAAGGUUAACUCGAGUGCCCAACUCAUCCUGAAAGGUCCUCCAAAAGCUAGAUGUGAACUGAGAACUCCGAUCUGAUAUAAUAGAAACUGGCACCCCAUGAAGUUGAACCACCUCCCGAAUUUAGAUACGAGCCAACCUCUCGGCGCUAAAUGAAGACUGAACAAGAAGGAAGUGUGCUGACUUGGUCAGUCGAUCAAUGAUGACCUAAAUCCUAUCAACACCUCUAGAAGUCCGCGGUAAGCCCGCCAUAAAAUCUAUAGUAAUGCGAUCCCAUUUCCACUCCGGAAUGGGUAAUCUCUGAAACUCACCACCAGGCCUGAAAUGCUCGGCUUUUACCUACUGGCAGCACAAGCAACGGGAAAUAAAGUCAGCAAUAUCUCUCUUCAUUACACUCCACCAUUAAUGUUACCUCAAAUCAUGAUACAUCUUCAUUGUGCCCGGAUGGAUAGAGUAUCUAGGUUCAUGGGCCUCACAAAGUGUCAACCGUAUCAAAUCCCUAACUCUUGGAACACAGAUGCGGCUGAUGAAUCUCAACACUCCAUUAGGAUCUAAGGUAGCGUGACCACCAUCACCCGCUAACACUCGGUCUCUAAGGGCCACUAAGGCCUCAUCCUCAAACUGGCAACCAAGGAUCCUAUCAAGCAAAGAAGACUGAACUCCCAUAUGGGCAAACACACGUCUAGAAUCUGAGAUAUCCAAGUGAACCAUGCUAUUGGCUAAGAACUGAAUGUCCAAAGCAAAGGGUUGCUCCUUAACAAAUAAGAAGGCUAGACUACCCAUACUCACUGCCUUACGGUUCAAGGCGUCCUCUACCACAUUCGUCUUGCUCUGACAAUCGAGAAUAGAGAGGUCGUAGUCCUUCAAGACCUCAAUCCAAUGAUGCUACCUCGAAUUAAGGUCCCUUUGGCUCAUGAUGUACUAAAGACUCAUGUGAUUGAUAUAGAUCUCACAUCGAACUCCAUACAGGUAGUGCCUCCAAAUCUUAAGCGCGAAAAAUAUUGUCGCCAAUUGUAGGUCAUGGGUGGGGUAAUUGCGCUCAUGUAGCUUAAGUUGCCUCGACGCAUAAGCAAUAACCCCCCCUUGCUGCAUCAAAACACAACCCAAACUAACACCGGAUGCGUCAUAAUAAACCUUGAAUGCCUCACCCUCAACAGGUAGAGUCAAUAUAGGAGCGGUGGUAAGCAACUCCUUGAGCCUAAAAAACUUCUUCUCACACUCCUCCGAUCACUAAAAGGGAACAUCCUGGCAAGCCAACCGAGUCAAAGGUGUCGCUAUAGUAGAAAAUCCCUCAACAAAAUGCAUGUAGUACCCUACCAAUCCGACGAAGCUAUGAAUCUCAGUCACAGAAGUGGGCCUGACCCAGUCAUGGAUAGCCCCAAUCUUCGCCGGAUGCACCAUAAUGCCAUCCUUGGACACCACGUACCCCAAGUAUGCUACAGACUCAAGCAAAAACCUGCACUUUGAGAACUUGGCAUAAAGCCGGUGAUCUCUCAAAGUCUGAAGCACUAUCCUCAAAUGUUGCUCAUGCUCACUCCGGCUCCGUGAGUAUACCAAUAUAUCGUCGAUGAAGACUAUAACAAAGGAGUAAAGGUAUGACCUGAAUACAUGAGUCAUCAAGUCCAUGAAGGCAUCUGGGGAAUUAGUCAACCCAAAAGACAUCACUAGGAACUCAUAAUGGCCAUAACAACUCCUAAAUGUGGUCUUAGGGAUGUUUGUUGCCCUAAUCCUCAACUGGUGGUAACCGGAUCUGAGAUUGAUCUUAGAAAACACCUCGUCACCCUGAAGCUGGUCAAAUAGGUCAUCAAUGCGAGGCAUGGGGUAACGGUUCUUCACCGUCACCUUGUUCAGCUGCCUAUAAUCCGCAUAGUACCAUCCUCCUUCUUCACAAAUAAGACUGGGGCACCCCAAGGCGAUACACUAGACCAAAUGAAUCCCUUACCCAAGAGAUCCUGAAGAUGAACACUGAGCUCUGCGAGGGCCAUACGGUACGGUGAGAUAGAAAUAGGACAAGCCAAGUCAAUGGCAAAAUCAAUAUCACGAUCUGGGGGUAAGCCAGGCAGGUCGGCAGGAAACACAUCAACAAACUAUCAGACUAAUGGCACUGAAACAACCGUAGGGCCCUUUCUACUAACAUCUCUAACAUAAGCCAAGCAAGCCAAACAUAUGUUAGUCACUAACCUCCGAGCCUGAAUGCAAUAAAUCACCCCAACUGGUGUGCGACUACAAGAGCCCUGCCACACCACCGGCGAAAUACCAGGCAUGGCUAAGGUAACGGUCUUGGCAUAACAAUCCAAAACCGCUCGGUGAGAGGAUAACCAGUCCUUGCCCAGAAUUAUGUCGAAAUACAACAGAUCAAGUAAAAUAAGAUUAGCUCGAGUGUCUCGCCCAUGAACAAACACUAAACAAGAUCUAACGAUCUUAUCCACUACUAAAGAAUCACCUACCGGGGUCGAAACGCGUAACGACACUACUAAGGGCUCAAGGAUCAUACUCAAUCGAGGAGCACAAUAAAUAGAUACAUAAGAAUAAGUGGAGUCUGGAUCAAAUAAAGAUGAGGCAGGCUGAUGACAUAAAAGUAUCGUACAUGUAAUCACAUUUUCUAAAGCCUCGACCUCUACUCUAGCUGGAGCUACAUAAAACUGACCCUGGGUGCCUCUACCCCGUGCAUCAAUUCUGCCACCUAUCCUGCCUCCCUAGGGACCUCCCCGUACACCCUGAUGACCACCCCGAUGAUCCUGAUCUUGACCUCCUCUAGCUGGAGGUGCUGUUGUUCGUGCGGGUCUAGCUGGUUGUGGAGCUGGUGUGGCUGACCUAUAGAGAGGACACUCUCUGGACCAAUGAUCAAGCUCCCUGCAGUCAUAACAACCAUGUGGUGGUCUGCUCGCAACUAGAGGCCGGCCACCCCGACCUGAAGAACCUGACUGAGAACCACCUCGGCCCUGACUAGGAUCUUCACUAGAGCCACCCUGACGGUGUUGGUCACCCUAUGUAGUAUGAAGCGAUGCCUGGAAUGGGUGACUAGAUUGAUCAUGUUGGAACCUCUGGUGGGGGCCUGUCAUGUGAGUCUCUAGGCCUGAAUUGGGGCCCUCUGUGACUAUCAUUCUGCUAUGUCCUCUUGCCGCUGCCCCCUUGGGCCUCGCAACAUAGCUGCUCAAGAGUGUGAGCGUGAUCCACAACAUCAAGAAAGGAACGGCUCACUGAAACCAUGCACUGAGUCUUUAUGCGCAGCUGCAGUCUCAAUCUCUAACAAAACACUUAAUCCUUUCCUCCUCCUCCGUCGGUAAGAUCAUAGUAGCAUGACGGGAGAGCUCAAGGAAUUUGGCCUCAUACUUAGAAAUAGUCAUGGAGCCGUGCUCCAGCCUCGAAAAAUCAUCAUGAAGCCCAUCUGUGACGCUUCGCGGGAUAAACCGAACCUAGAAUGCCUUAGAGAACUCUACCCAAGAUACUGGUGGGGACCCAGCUGGCCUGGUCUCCAAGUAAGAACGCCACCACUUUCUGGCAAGCCCAUCUAACUAAUAAGCAAUGAAAUCAGCCCCUCUCACCUCUACCAGACCCAAAGUAUGUAGCCGCUUCCGACAAGUAGUAAGGAACUUAUGGGAAUCCUCUCCAACAGCCCCAGAAAACCUCGGCGGUGACAAUCUCAGAAACACCCCUAGCAUCUUCUGCCCUCGUAGUGGCAAGACCCCAUCUAAAACAUCUGGCUAGACGGUGGCAGGUGUCGAUGGUUGUUGAACAUCUAGAGCCACUGGGGUGGGCUGAUUCUGCGAUGCCAGAACUGGAGCUGGUGCUGGGGCUGGGGCUGGGGUUGGAGCUGGGGCUGGGGCAGGAGCCUGCUGCUGUAUACCCCAUAUGGCCACUAAAAUUUGGGCGAGCAUCGCCUGUAGGUCAGGAGAGGCGGCUGGUGCGGGUGGUGGCUGGGUUGGUCCCGGUCCCACCGGCUGAGGAGGAACAUGAUCUACUUGAGGCUCCGCCUCCGACUCUGGAGUCCUCUCUCUAUCUCGGGCUGAUGCUGCAGCCCUGCCUCAACCUUUAGAUUGGCCUCUGCCCCUAGCUGGGGCUCUAUUCGCGGGCUCGGGUGCAUCACCUUUUGUCGCUCCUGCACGCGUGCAAGCCAUCCUGUGAAAGAGUGAAACAAAUUAGAUUUCAUGAAACCAAUUUAGACAUACGAUGCACGAAAAUGAUACAAAACAGGGAAACUUCCUAACGACAACAUGUAACCUCCCGAAGAUAAGUCACGGACAUCUCCGCACCGAUCUGCAGGACUCUACUAGAUGUUAGCUCUAUACAAGUGAGACCGGUGAACCUGGGGCUCUGAUACCAACUUGUUACAACCCAAUUCCUCGAGUCACGAUGGCACUUACUAUAACCCACCAGUAGGCAAGCCAAUGCGUAUCCCGAAACAACUAGUAAUGGGAUUGAGGGUAGAAAACUAAACCCAACAACACAAUAAUAAUAACAACAGGAAUCACAAACGGAAGGGCGGAAGCAAGCCAAAACUAUGUACAAAUAAAAGAUCCCUCCCAGAACCUGGAAGUCACAAGUACAGAGCUACUAAAAAAAUGAGUACAAGUCCCAAAAGUGGACCACAAAAACAAGAUUGUCUAAAAAAGCAAAAGACAAGUCAAUAUAUAAAUACAGAAGGAGACGGGCAAAUCCAGGAUGCUAUGUGCUCACCCUUGCCUCCUAAUAUGACUGCAGCUGGCUCGAAAUCAACGCUGAUAGCUGGUGCUCGGACCUGCAUCACGAAAACAGAUGCAGACUGUAGUAUGACUAUCAAAAUGACAGGUACCCAAUAGGCAUCAUAGGCUGAUUUAGCAAGAAAGGAAAAAGUAAUAUGAAAUGCGAGAAUCUAACAUACUAACAAAAAUAAGCAUGAGGGAACAUCUAAUAGGUAUGCAGUUUGAUCCCUUGAAGCUACUAAGUUGGUAUCGUAGGAAAUUCCUUGUCCAUAUCUACUUUGUUACUUGCUUCCUCAUGUGUUUGUUGGAGACCAAUGUAUAGUGGUGGCCUGAAGAAUUUGUCAUUGCAUAAUUUGUUACAUUGGUAUACCCCCCAUCAAAUAUACAAAUCAAAUAACAACUUGGAUUUGGUUACUGGUUUUGUCAUGGGAAAAUGAUUUUCUUGGCCUUAAAGAGUGAGGGUCAUUUAACAUGCUAAAUGUGUACUGGAAGGUUAAGUGGCAAGUGAUUGACUAAGGAUCUAUUUGUGUAUUGAUGUUAAAGUUCACCAUCUUUUGUUAUGUUGUUUUGAUAAUUGAAAAAAGCUUCAAGUUUAAGGGUAAAGAAACUGAGGCAGCUUAUGUAAGAACUUGAAGUCUCAAACCUAACUUUGAUAAUGAAACAAAUCACAACUGUCAGUAAUCAACUCAUUGACUGUAAGCUGUAAGUAUCUUCAAGUUAAAUGUAUUGCAACCAGCUUAAAAGGUUAUGUAUUUUCUGCAUUUCCAAGUAAUGGUUUUCCUUGUUUAUUUGCUUUAAAAAUCAUAGAUGGUAAAGUAGUACUGGUUAGAUGGUAAGCCUAGAUGACCUUCACCUUUGCUUUAUUCAUUACAAAAAAAUCUAAGCUUAGUGAUAAGGAGCAUAUAAAAUACACAAAAGUAUCUGCAUUAGUUACAGGGGUAGGGCAUUCCAGCUAAACAAAUUAACUAAACAGUUAGACUUCAGAUAAGACGUUUGAGUUUUUGUGCUAGCAAAGCAUUUGGUGUUGCUUUUUGUCCAUAAAUACCAAAAAAUGACUGCGGAUCAUUCCCCAAAUCUUUCUGAUGAUUUUAUCAACUCUCCAAAAAUACCAACUUUCAUAGGCUUGCUUCACUGUCUGAGGCAUGACCCAUUUCAAUCCAAAAGUUGUAAGCUUCAGUAGUAACUGCAAUGUAGAAGGACAUGGCUGAUACUUGCUGAGUUUUGCUAACACAAAUAGCACCAGUGUGAGUUCUUUUGCAUAGGUUGUCUUGGGUUAGACAUGCCCCUCUUACAAAUGUAAAGUGUGUGGUUUCCUAUUCUUUAGAAACUUACAUAGUUGAACAAUAUAAAUUUUUUUCCUAAUCUUUAAUGCUCUCUUUUUACCUCUAUUUAUUAUAGGAAACAUAUAAAGAGAUCUUACGAGAAAAAUGGUAUCUCAAUCUGAAGCAUAUUACCAAGCUGCGGACGGAGAAAAGAAGAGAAGAAUAUACGGUCUUGGAUAUAAAGCGAAAAAUUACUACAAGCAUAAGUUUUGUGCCUCAUCAUCUGUACCAUCUUCAGUUUCUCAAUCAACAUCAACAACAAAUAUUGAUGAAUUUGUAAAGGAAAUGCUUCCUGCACUUACUAAUCAUUUUCUUCCUGUUAUUAUGGAGCGGGUACAAGAAGUGAUUACUCCCGUUGACAAUCCGUCACCUUUGACCCCCAUAGUGCCUCCUCCUGGUACUACUAAUGAGAAAGAGGUUGAUCCCUUAGUUUCAAGGGACGACGAUGCUAUCCCAUAGUCCCCUGCAGCUUGAACUUUUGAUCUUGUCUGUUGUUUUGGAAAUUACAAAUUGUGCAGUAACAAUAGUUUAUUAAUGUAGCUGCUUUUAAGAAUAGUUGAUACAUUGCUUUCGAUGUUUUGCACUAAAAAUAUGUGAUUAGAAUUUUGCUAUCUACAUAUUUUGAACAGUCUAAGUAUUAUUUCAUGUGAAUGUUGGUUAUUUUAGGGGUAUUUAAUAAUCGUCAUUUAAUUUAUUUCAACAGUGUAGAUUUAAAAUAAAUAAAUAAAAUUAUUUUAAAAGAAAUUUUUUAACAACAAAUUGAAUGACAAUUUGGUCAUUUCUAUAAAAAAAUAUUGGCGACGGGCUAGCGACGAACUUUUAAGUGGAAAAUGUGCAGAAUAUUUUGCGACAGAUUAGUGACCGACACUCCGUCACGAAGUUAUCCAAAGUGAUGAACUAAAUUAUGAAAUUUGCAAUUAAUUAUAUAAGUAUAAUUCGAAUUAAAUUAAAUGAUCAAGAAAAGUACAUUAAAACACCUCAAAAAAAAUUCAAAUUGCACCAAUGACAUUAGAAUAUCGAAACAAAGAAAUGAUCAAAAUUAAACUCCUUUUCAUAACAGUCCGAAUUAUAACAAAAAAAUUAAUUUUUCCUCGUAAAUGUACGAAACAUAUAAAAAUCAAGAAAAUUACAUCAAAAAACCUCAAAAAAUUCUCAAACUGCAUCAAUGACCUUAGAGUAUCGAAACAAAUAAAUGAACAAAAUUUUACUCUUUUUCGUGAUUGUUCGAAAAACAACAAAAAAAUUAUAUUUUACUUGUAAACGUAUGAAACAUAUAAAAAUAAAGAAAAUUACAUCAAAACAUGUUAAAAAAUUCUCCAACUGCACCAAUGACCUUAGAAUAUCGAGAAAAAAAAUGAUCAACAUUUACUAUUUUUCAUAACUGUCCAAAAAAUAACAAAAAAUUAAAUUUUCCUCGUAAAUGUCCAAAAGAUAUAACAAUCAAGAAAAGUACAGCAAAAUACCUCAAAAAAUUCUCAAACUGCACCAAUGACCUUAGAAUAUCGAAACAAAAGAAUAGUAAAUUUUUAACUAUUAUUCGUAUCAGUCUGAAAAAUAACAAAAAAAAAAAAUUUCCUCGUAAAUGUACGAAACAUAUUAAAAUCAAGAAAAGUACAUCAAAACACCUCAAAAUAUACUCAAGUUGCACCAAUGACCUUAGAAUAUAAAAGCAAAAAAAUAAUCGAAAUUUUACUCUUUUUCGUAACUGUCUAAAAUUAACAAAAAAAUUAUUUUUUCCUCGUAAAUAUACGAAACAUAUAAAAAUCAAGAAAAAUACAUCGAAACAUAUCAAAAAAUUCUCAAACUGCACCAAUGACCUUAGAAUAUCGAGGAAAAAAAUGAUCAAAAUUUUUAUCUUUUUCCUAACUGUCUGAAAAAUAACAAAAAAAAUAUUUUUUCCUCGUAAAUGUACGAAACAUAUAAAAAUUAAGAAAACUACAUCGAAACACCUCAAAAAAAAAUUCAAACUUCACUAAUGACCUUAGAGUAUCGAAACAAAUAAAUAAACCAAAUUUUACUCUUUUUCGUGACUGUUCAAAAAAUAAUAAAAAAUUUAAUUUUUACUCGUAAAUAUAUGGAAUAUAUAAAAAUAAAGAAAAUUAAAUCAAAACACCUUAAAAAAUUCUCCAACCGCACCGAUGAGAAUAUCGAAACAAAAAAAUGAUCAAAAUUUUACUUACUUUUGUAACUGUCCAAAAAAUAACAAAACAAAUAUUUUUUCUUCAUAAAUGUACGAAACAUUUAAAAAUAAAGUACAUCAAAACACCUCAAAAAGUUCUCAAACAACACCAAUGAUCUUAGAAUAUCGAAACAAAAAAAUGAUCAAAAUUUUACACAUUUUCGUAACUGUCCGAGAAAUAACAAAAAAUUAAACUUUUCCUCGUAAAUGUACGAAACAUAUAAAAAUCAAAAAAACUACAUCAAAACACCUCAAAAAUUUCUCAAAGUGCACCAACGACCAUAGAAUAUCGGGAAAAAAUGAUCAAAAUUUUACUAUUUUUCGUAACUAUCCGAAAAAUAAAAAAAAUUAAUUUUCUUUGAAAAUGUACGAAACAUAUAAAAUUCAAGAAAAGUACAUCAAAACAACUCAAAAAAUUCUCAAAUUGCACCAAUGACCUUAGAAUAUCGAGACAAAAAAAAAUCAAAAUUUUAAUCAUUUUCGAAACUGACAGAAAAAUAACAAAAAAUUUAAUUUUUCCUGGUAAAUGUACGAAAUAUACAAAAAUCAAGAAAAGUACAUCAAAACACCUAAAAAAAAAUCUCAAACUACACAAUUAACCUUACAAUAUCGAAACAAAAAAAUGAUCAAAAUUUACUCUUUUUUGUAACUGUUCAAAAAAAAUAUUUUUUCCUCGUAAAUGCCCGAAAAAUAUAAAAAUCAAGAAAAUUACAUCAAAAUACCUCAUAAAAUUCUCAAACUGCACCAAUGACCUUUCAAUAAUGAAACAAAAAAAAUGGUAAAAUUUUUAUUCAUUUUCAUAACUGUUUGAAAAAUAACAAAAAAAAUUAUUUUUUUAUUGUUAAAUGUACGAAGCAUAUAAAAAUCAAGAAAAGUACAUCAAAGCACCUCAAAAAAUUCUCAAACUGCACCAAUGACCGUAGAAUAUCGAAACAAAAAAGUGAUCAAAAUUUAAACUUUUUCAUAACUGUCCGAAAAAUACCAGAAAAAAUAAUUUUUCCUCGUAAAUGUCUAAGAGAUAUAAAAAUAAAAAUAAAUACAUCAAAACACCUCAAAAACUUCUGAAACUACACCAAUUACCUUAUAAUAUCGAAAUAAAAAAAUGAUCAAAAUAUUACACUUUUUCGUAACUGUCCAGAAAAUAACAAAAAAAUUAUUUUUUCCUCGUAAAUAAACGAAACAUAUUAAAAAUCUAGUACAUCAAAACACCUCAAAAAGUUCUCAAACUGUACCAAUGACCUUAGAAUAUCGAUACAAAAAUAUGAUCAAUAUUUUACUCUUUUUCAUUACUGUCCGAAAAAUUACCACAAAAAAAAAAUCCUCGUAAAUGUAUGGAACAUAUAAAAAUCAAGAAAAAUACAUAAAACACUUCAAAAAAUUCUCAGAUUGCACCAAUGACCUUAGAAUAUCGAAACAAAAAAAUGCUAAAAUUUACUCUUUAUCAUAACUUUUCUAAAAAUAACAAAAAAUAAUAAUUUUUCCUCUUAAAAGUCCGAAAGAUAUAAAAAUUAAGAAAAACACCUCAAAAAGUUCUCAAACUGCACCAAUGACCUUUGAAUAUCGAAAUAAAAAAAUGGUCAAAAUUUUACUUAUUUUGGUAAUUGUCUUCGUUAAUGCGCGAAACAUAUAAAAAUUAAGAAAAGUACAUCAAAACACCUCAAAAAAUUCUCAAACUGCAUCAAUGACCUUAGAAUAUCGAAACAAAAAAGAUGAUCAAAAUUUUACUCUUUUUUUGAACUUUCCAAAAAAUUACAAAAAUUUAAUUUGUCCUCGUAAAUGUACGAAACAUAUAAAAAUCAAGAAAAGUACAUCAAAACAUCUAAAAAAAUCUUAAACUGCACCAAUGACCUUAGAAUAUCAAAAUAAAAAAAUAUCAAAAUUUUACUAUUUUUCGUAACUGUCUGAAAAAUAACAAAAAAAAUAUUUUUCCUAGUAAAUGUCCGAAAGAUAUAAAAAUCCAGAAAAGUACAAUAAAACAUCUAAAAAAAAUCUCAAACUGCACCAUUAACCUUAGAAUAUCAACACAAAAAAAUGAUCAAAAUUUUAUUCUUUUUUGAAACUGUCCGAAAAAUAACAAAAAAAAAUUAUUUUUCUUCGUAAAUGUAUGAAACAUAUAAAAAUCAAGAAAAGUACAUCAAAAUACGUCAAAAAAUUCUCAAACUACACCAAUGACGUUAGAAUAUCGAUACAAAAAUACAAUCAAUAUUUUACUCUUUUUCGUUACUGUCCAAAAAAUAACAAAAAUAUAUUUUUUUCCUCGUAAAUGUAUGGAACAUAUAAAAAUCAAGAAAAGUACAUAAAACACUUCAAAAAAUUCUCAAAGUGCACCAAUGACCUUAGAAUAUCGAAACAAAAAAAUGCUAAAAUUUAACUCUUUUUCAUAACUGUUCUAAAAAUAACAAAAAAAUAUUUUUUCCUCUUAAAGGUUCGAAAGAUAUAAAAAUCAAGAAAAACACAUCAAAACACCUCAAAAAGUUCUCGAACUGCACCAAUGACCUUUCAAUUUCGAAAUAAAAAAAUAGUCAAAAUUUUACUUAUUUUGGUAAAUCUCUUCCGUUAAAGAGCGAAACAUAUAAAAAUUAAGAAAAGUACAUGAAAACACCUCAAACUGCAUCAUUGACCUUAGAAUAUCGAAACAAAAAAUGAUCAACAUUUGACUCUGUUUUUUAACUGUCCGAAAAAUAACAAAAAUUUAAUUUGUCCUCGUAAAUGUACGAAACAUAUAAAAAUCAAGAAAAGUACAUCAAAACACCUCAAAAAAAUCUUAAACUGCACCAAUGACCUUAGAAUAUCAAAAUAAUAAAAUAUCAAAAUUUUACCAUUUUUCGUAACUGUCUGAAAAAUAACAAAAAAAAUUGUUUUUCCUAGUAAAUGUCCGAAUGAUAUAAAAAUCCAGAAAAGUACAGUAAAACAUCUCAAAAAAUUCUCAAACUGCACUAAUGACCUUAGAAUAUCAAAACAAAAAAAGGAUCAAAAUUGAACACUUUUUUGUAACUGUCCGAAAAAUAACAAAAAAUUAUUUUUUUUCCGUUAAUGUAUGAACCAUAUAAAAAUCAAGAAAAUUACAUCAAAACAGCUCAAAAAAUUCUCAAACUACACCAAUGACGUUAGAAUAUCGAAACAAAAAAAUGAUCAAAGUUUUACACUUUUUCGUAACUAUCUGAAAAAAUUACAAAUAAAUUAUUUUUUCCUCUUAAAUGCUCUGAAGAUAUAAAAAUCAAGAAAAGUGCAUCAAAACACCUCAAAAAAUUCUCAAACUACACCAAUGACCUUAGAAUAUCGAAACAAAAGAAUGAUCAAAAUUUUACAAUUUUUCGUAACUGUCUGAAAAAUAACAAUAAAUUUAAUUUGUCCUAUUAAAUGUACCAAAAAUAUAAAAAUCAAGAAAAAUACAUCAAAACAUCUCAAAAAAAUCUCAAACUGCACUAAUAACCUUAGACUAUUAAAACAAAAAAAUGAUCAAAAUUUUCCUCUAUUUCGUAACUGUCUGAAAAAUAACAAAAAAUUUAAUUUUUUCCUCAUAAAUGUCCGAAACAUAUAAAAAUCAAGAAAAGUACAUGAAAACACCUUAAAAAAAUUUGAACUGCACCAAUGUCCUUAAAAUAUUGAAAUGAAAAAAUGAUCAAAAUCUUACUUUUAUUUCAUUUUUAUUCGAAAAAUAACAAAAAAAUUAUUUUUUCCUCAUAAAUGUCCGAAAGAUAGAAAAAUCACGAAAAGUACAUCAAAACAGCUCAAAAAUUCUCAAACUGCACCAAUGGCAUAAGAAUAUCAAAAUAAUAAAAUGACCAAAAUUUUACUCUUUUUCGUAACUGUCCAAAAAUAACAAAUAAUUUAAUUUGUUCUAGUAAAUGUACGAAACAUAUAAAAAUCAAGAAAAGUACAUCAGAACAUCUCAAAAAACUCUUAAACUGCACCAAUGACCUUAGAGUAUCGAAACAAAAAGUUAAUCAAACUUUUACUCUUUUUAGUAACUAACCAAAAAAUUUAAAAAAACAUUUAAUUUUUCCAAGUAAGUGUCCGAAAGAUAUAAAAAUUAAGAAAAGUACAUCAAAAUACCACAAAAAAUUCUCAAACUACAGCAAUGACCUUAGAAUAUUGAAGAAAAAAAUAUCAAAAUUUUACUCUUUUUCGUGACUGUCCAAAAAAUAACAAAAAGUUUAAUUUUUCCUCGUAAAUGUACUAAACAUAUAAAAAUCAAUAAAGGUACAUCAAAAUACCUCAAAAAAAUCUCAAACUGCACCAAUGCCCUUAGAAUAUCGAGAGAAAAAAAAUGAUCAAAAUUUUACUCUUUUUCGUAACUGUACGGAAAAUACCAAAAAAAAAAAAUUUCCUCGUAUAUACGAAAUAUUUAAAAAAAUCAAGAAAAGUACAUCAAAACACCACCAAAAAAAUCUCAAACUGCACCAAUGACCUAAGCAUAUCGAAACAAAAAAUUGAUCAAAAUUUGACUCUUUUAUGUAAUUGUCUGAAAAAUAACAAAAAAAUUUAUUUUUUUCUCGUAAAUGUUCGAAACAUAUAAAAAUCAAGAAAAGUAUAUCAACACACCUCAAAAAAUUGUCACACUGCAACAAUGACCUUGGAAUAUCAAAAACGAUCAAAAUUUUUCUCUUUUUUGUAAUUGUCCGAAAAAUAACAAAAAAAUUAAUUUUCUCAUCGUAAAUGUCCAAAACAAAUAAAAAUCAAGAAAAGUACAUCAACACACCUCAAAAUUUCACAAACUGCAUCAAUGACUUAGAAUAUCAAAACAAAAAAAUGAUCAAAAUUUUACACUUUUUUGUAUCUGUUCGAGUAAUAACAAAAAAAUUCAUUUUUACUCAUAAAUGUACGAAAAAAAUAUAGAUCAAGAAAAGUACAUCAAAACACCUCAAAAAAUUCUCAAACUGCCCCAAUGACUUUAAAAUAUCGAAACAAAAAAUGAUCAAAAUUUUACAGUUUUUCAUAACUGUCUGAAAAAUAAUAAAAAUUUUAAUGUUUCCUCAUAAAUAUUCGAAAGAUAUAUAAAUUAAGAAAAGUAUAUCAAAACACCUCAAAAAAUUGUCAAACUGCACAAAUGACCUUAGAAUAUCGAACAAAAAAGAUGAUCAAAAUUUUGCUCUUUUUCAUAACUCUCCGAAAAAUAACAAAAAAUUAUUUUAUCCUCGUAAAUGUACGAAACAAAUAAUAAUCAAGAAAAUAACGUUAAAACACCUCAAAAAAAAUUCAAACUGAACCAAUGACUUUAGAAUACCGAAACAAAGUGCUUUUCAAAAUUUUAAACUUUUUCGUAACUGUCCAAAAGAUAACAAAAAAAAAAAAAUUUCCUCGUAAAUUUACAAAACAUAUAAAAAUCAAGAAAAGUACAUUAAAACAACUCAAAAAAUUCUCAAACUGCACCAAUGACCCUAGAAUUUCUUUAUAAAAAAAGAUCAAAAUUGGACUCUUUUUCGUGACUGUCCAUAAAUGUUUCCUCGUAAAUGUUUUAAAGAUAUAAAAAUCAAGAAAAGUAUAUCAAAACACCUCAAAUAUUCUCAAAUUGCACCAAUAACUUUAGAAUAUCGAACCAAAAAAAUGAUCAAAAUUUUAUUCUUUUUCGUUAUUGUCAGAAAAAUAACAAAAAAAAUUAUUAUUCCUUGUAACUGGCCGAAAGAUAUAAAAAUCAAGGAAAGUACAUCAACUCACCUCAAAAAAUUCUCCAACUGCAUCAAUUAACAUAGAAUGUCGAAACAAAAAAAUGAUCAAAAUAUUAUAUUUUCUCGUAACUGUCCGUAAAAUAACAAAAAUAUUAAGUUUUCCUCGUAAAUGUACAAAACAUAUGAAAGUCAAGAAAAGUACACCAAAACAGCUCAGAAGAUUCUUAAACUGAACCAAUGACCUUAGAAUAUAGAAUCAAAAAAAUUAUCAAAAUUUUAGUCAUUUUUGUAAUUGUCCGAAAAAUAACAAAAAAUUUAAUACUUCCUCGUAGAUGUACGAGAAAUAUUAAAAUCAAGAAAAGUACAUCAAAACACCUCAAAAAAUUCUCUGACUGCACCAAUCAACAUAGAAUUUCGAAACAAAAAAAUGAUCAAAAUAUUAUAUUUUCUCGUAACUGUCUGUAAAAUAACAAAAAAAUUAAAUUUUCCUUGUAAAUGUAUGAAACAUAUAAUAAUAUAGAAAAGUACAUAAAAACGCCUCAAAAAAAUACUAAAACUGCACCUAUUAACUUAGAAUAUCGAAACAAAAAAAUGAUAAAAAAUUCACUUUAUUUCGUAACUGUCCUAAAAUAAAAAAAUAUUAAUUUUUACUCGAAAAUGUUUGAAAGAUAUAAAAAUAAAAAUAAAAAGUACAUCAAAACACCUCAAAAAAUUCUAAAACUAUACCAACGACCAUAGAAUAUUCAAAAAAAAAAGAUCAAAAUCUUACUCAUUUUCAUAAAUGUCCGAAAAAUAACAAAAAAAAUAUUUUUCUCGUAAAUAUACGAAACAUAUAAAAAUGAAGAAAAGUACAUCAAAACACUUCAAAAAAUUCUCAAACUGCACCAAUGACCCUCGAAUAUCAAAAAAAUAUAUAUCAGAAAUUUACUCUUUUGCGAAACUAUCCGAAAAAUAACAAAAAAAAUUAUUUUUCCUUGUAAAUGUACGAAAUAUAUAUAAAAAAAUACAUUAAGAUACCUUAAAAAUUUUCAAACUUCACCAAUCACCUAAAAAUAUCGAAACAAACAAUAAUCAAAAUUGUACUAUUUUCCGUAAUAGUCUAAAAAUGACUAAAGAUUUAAUUUUUCCUCGUUAAUGUAUGAAACAUAUAAAAUCAAGAAAAAAAUAUCAAAACACCUCAAAAAAAAUUCUUAAAUUGCACCAAUGAUCUUAGAAUACUGAACCAAAAAAAUGAUCAAAAUUUAACUCUUUUUCGUAACAGUUCAAAAAAUAACAAAAAACUUAGUUUUUUCAGGUAAAUGUAUGAAACAUAUAAAAAUCAAGAAAAGUAUAUCAAAACACAUCAAAAAAUUCUUAAACUGCACCAAUGACCUUAGAAUAUCUAAACAACAAACUAAUCAAAAUUUUACUCUUUUACAUAACUGUCCAAAAAAUUUAAUGUUUCCUCGUAAAUGUAUGAAACGUAUAAAAAUCAAAAAAAGUAUAUCAAAACAGCUCAAAAAAUUCUCAAUCUGCAGCAAUGACCUUAGAAUAUCGAAAAUUUCACACUUUUUCGUAACUAUCCAAAAAAUAAUAAAUAAUUUAAUUUUACCACGUAAAUAUACGAAACAUAUAAAGAUAAUGAAAAGUAUAUCAAAACACCUCAAAAAAUUAUAAAACUGCACCAAAGACCUUAGAAUAUCGAAACAAAAAAAUGAUCAAAAUAUUACUCUUCGUGUAACUAUCCGAAAAAUAACAAAAAAAUUAAUGUUUCCUUGUAAAUGUACGAAACAUUUAAAAAUAAAGAAAAGUACAUCAAAACACCUCAAAAAAUACUCUAGGUUCACCAAUGACCAUAGAAUAUCGAAACAAACAAAUGAUAGAAAUUUAACACUUUUUCGUAUCUAUUAGAAAUUUAACAAAAAAUUUAAUUUUUCCUCGUAAAUGUACGAAACAUAUAAAAAUCAAGAAAAGUACAUCAAACCACCUCGAAUAAUUCUCAAACUCCACCAAUUACCAUAGAAUAUCGAAAUAAAAAAAUGAUAAAAAAUUUACUAUUUUUCAUAACUGUCCGAAAAAUAACAAAAAAAUUAAUUUUCCUCAUAAAUAUACGAAACAUAUAAAAAUCAUGAAAAGUACAUCAAAACACCUCAAAAAAUUCUCAAACUACACCAAUGACCUUAGAACAUCGAAAUAAAAAAAAUGAACAAAAUUUUACUCUUUUUCGUAAAUGUCCAAAAAUAAGAAAAUAUAUAUUUUUCCUUGUAAAUGUACGAAAAAUAUAAAAAUCAAGAAAAGUGCUUCUAAAACACCUCAAAAAUUUCUAUUAAUUGCACCAAUGACUUUUGAAAAUCGAAAAGAAAGAUUGAUCAAAAUUUUACUCAUUUCGUAACUGUCCUGAAAAAUAGCAAAAAAAAUUAUUUUUUCCUCGAAAAUGUCCGAAAGAUAUAAAAAUUAAGAAAGGUAUAUCAAAACACCUCAAAAAAUUCUCAAAUUGCACCAAUGACCUAAAUAUAUCAAAAAGUAUGAUCAAAAUUUUACGCUUUUCAGUUAAUGUCCGAAAAUUGACAAAAAUUUAAUUUUUCCUCGUAAAUAUACGAAACAUAUAAAAAUAAACAAAAAUACAUCAAAACACUUCAAAAAAUUCUCAAAUUGCACCAAUGACCUAAAUAUAUCAAAAAGUAUGAUCAAAAUUUUACGCUUUUCAGUUAAUGUCCGAAAAUUGACAAAAAUUUAAUUUUUCCUCGUAAAUAUACGAAACAUAUAAAAAUCAACAAAAAUACAUCAAAACACUUCAAAAAAUUCUCAAACUACACCAAUGACCUCAGAAUAUCGAACAAAGAAAAGAUCAAAGUUAUACUCUUUUUCGUAACUGUCCGAGAAAUAACAAUAGAAUUAUUUUUUCCUCGUAAAUGUACGAAAAAUAUAAAAAUCAAGAAAAGUACAUCAAAACACUUCAAAAAAUUCUCAAACUACACCAAUGACCUCAGAAUAUCGAACAAAGAAAAGAUCAAAGUUAUACUCUUUUUCGUAACUGUCCGAGAAAUAACAAUAGAAUUAUUUUUUCCUCGUAAAUGUACGAAAAAUAUAAAAAUCAAGAAAAGUACAUCAAAACACUUCAAAAAAUUCUCAAACUACACCAAUGACCUCAGAAUAUCGAACAAAGAAAAGAUCAAAGUUAUACUCUUUUUCGUAACUGUCCGAAAAAUAACAAAAAAAUAAUUUUCCUCAUUAACGUUCGCAAGAUAGAAAUCAAGAAAAGUACAUCAAAACACCUCAAAAAAUUCUCAAACUGCACCAAUGACUUUGGAUUAUCGAAAUAAAAAGUGAUCAAAAUUUUACUCCUUUCAUAACCGUCCCAAAAAUAAUAAUAAAAAAAAUUUCCUCGUAAGUAUACAAAACGUAUAAAAAUCAAGAAAAGUACAUCAAAACACCUCAAAAAAAUUCUCAAACUGAAAAUCAAGAAAAGUACAUCAAACACCUUUAAAAAGUCUCAAACUACACCAAUGACCUUAGAAGAUCAAAAAAAUGAGCAAAAAUUAACACAUUGUAAUAACUGUCUGAAAAAUAACACAAAAAUAACAAAAAAAACUACUUUUCCCUCGUAACUGUACGAAAUGUAUAAAUAUAAAAAAAAGUACAUCAAACACCUCAAAAAUAUCUCAAACUGCACCAAUGAUCAUAGAAUAUCUAAACAAAAAAUGAUCAAAAAUUUUCUCAUUUUCGAACUAAAUGAAAAAUUACAAAAAAAAAUUAUUUUUCUUCAUAAAUGUCCGAAGAUAAAAAAAUCAAGGAAAGUAUAUCAAAAACACCUCAAAAAAUUCUCAACCUUUACCAAUGACCUUAGAAUAUCAAAACUAAAAUAUGAUCAAAAUUUUAUUCUUUUUCGUAACUAUUGGAAUAAUAACAAAAAAAUUAAUUUUACCUCAUAAAUGUACAAAACAUAUAAAAAUCAAGAAAACUACAUCAAAACACCUCAUAAAAUUCUCAAACUUCACCAAUGACCUUAGAAUAUCGAAACAAAAAGAUGAUAAAAAUAUUACUCUUUUUCGUAACUCUCGGAAAAAUAACAAAAAAAUUGAUUUUUCCUCAUAAAUGUAAGAAACAUAUAAAAAACAAUAAAAGUACUUCAAAACACAUCAAAAAAAUCUCAAACUUCACCAAUGACCUUAGAAUAUGAAAACAAAAAAAUGACCAAAAUUUUACUCUAUUUCCUAACAUUCCAAAAAAUAACAAAAAGUUUAAUUUUUCCUCGUGAAUGUAUGAAAGAUGUAAAACUCAAGAAAAGUACAUCAAAAACACCUAAAAAAAUUCUCAAACUUUACCAAUGACCUUAGAAUAUCGAAAAAAAAUUAUAUAAAUUUUAGGCAUUUACGUAACUGUCCGAAAAAUAACAAAAAAAUUAUUUUUUCCUCAUAAAUGUCUGAAAGAUAUAAAAUCAACAAAAAUACAUCAAAACACCUGAAAAAAUAUCAAACUGUACCGGUGACCAUAGAAUAUCGAAACAAAAAAUAAAUCAAAAAUUUACUCAUUUGAGUAAAUGUUCGAAAAAUAAGUAAAAAAUUAUUUUUUCCUUGUAAAUAUUCGAAAGAUAUAAAAAUAAAGAAAAGUACACCAAAACAACUCAAAAAUUCUCAAACUUUACCAAUGACCUUAACAUAUUAAAAAAAAAAUUAUCAAAUUUUUUCUCUUUUUCGUAACUGUCCAAAAAAAACAAAAAAAAUAAUUUUCCCCAUAAAUGUACGAAAUAUAGAAAAAUCAAGAAAAAUGCACCAAAACGCCUAAAAAAAAUUCUCAAACUGCACCAGUGACCUUAGAAUAUUGAAACAAAAAAAUGAUCAAAAUUUUACUCCUUCUCGUAACUAUUCGAAAAAUAACAAAAAAAAUAUUUUUUCCUCGUAAAUGUCCUAAAGAUAUAAAAAUUAAGAAAAGGACAUGAAAAUCACAUCAAAGAAUUCUCAAACUUCACCAAUGGCCUUAGAAUAUGAAACAAGAAAAUGAUCAAAACGUUACUCUUUUUCGUAAUUGUUGGAAAAAUAACAAUAAAUUUAAGUUUUCCUUGUAACAGUACGGAAUAUAUAAAAAUCAAGAAAAAUAAAUCAAAACACCUCAAAAAAUUCUAAAUCUGCACCAAUGACCUUAGAAUAUUGAAACAAAAAAAGAUCAAGAUUUAACUCUUUUUCGAACCUGUCCGAAAAAUAACAAAGAAUUAAUUUUUCCUCAUAAAUAUAAGAAACAUUUAAAAAUGAAGAAAAGUACAUUAAAAUACCUAAAAAAAUUCUCAAACUGCACCAAUGACCUUAGAAUAUCAAAACAAAUAAAUGAUCAAAACAGUACAAUUUUUCCAAACUGUUUGAAAAAUAACAAUAAAUUUAUUUUUUAAUCCUAAAUGUGUGAAAGAUAUAAAAAUCAAGAAAAGUACAUCAAAACACCUCAAAAAAAAUCUCAAACUGCACCAAUGACCUUAAAAUACCAAAAGAAAAAAUUAUCAAAAUUUUACUCCUUUUCGUAACUAUCCGAAAAAUAACAAAAAAAAUUAUUUUUCCUCGUAAAUGUCCUAAAGAUAUAAAAAUUAAGAAAAGAACAUGAAAAACACUUCAAAGAAUUCUCAACCUUCACCAAUGACCUUAGAAUAUGAAACAAGAAAAUGAUCAAAAUUUUACGCUUUUUCGUAAUUGUUGGAAAAAUAACAAUAAAUUUAAGUUUUCCUUGUAAGAGUACGAAAUAUAUAAAAAUAAAGAAAAAUAAAUCAAAACACUUGAAAAAAUUCUAAAAACUGCAUCAAUGACCAUAGAAUAUCGAAACAAAAAAUGAUCAAAAUUUUAAUCUGUUGUGUAACUGUCCGAAAAAUAAAUAAAAAAUUUAUUUUUCCUCGUAAAUAUACGAAACAUACAAAAAACAAGAAAAGUACAUCAAUACACCUCAAAAAAUUCUGAAAUUGCAUCGAUGAUCUUAGAAUAUCGAAACAAAAAAAUCAUCAAAAAUUUACUCUUUUUUCGUAACUGUCCGAAAAAUAACUAAAGAAACUAUUUUUCCUCGUAAAUGUACGAAACAUACAAAAAUCAAGAAAAGUACAUCAAAACACCUCAAAAAAUUCUCAAAUUGCACCGACGAUCUUAGAGUAUCGAAACAAAAAAGCGAUCAAAAUUUUACACUUUUUUGUUACUGUCCGAAUAAUAACAAAAAUUUAAUUUUUCCAUGUAAAUAUACGAAACAUAUAAAAAUCAAGAAAUGUACAUCAAAACACAUUAAAAAAUUCUCAAACUGCACCAAUGACCUUACAAUAUCGAAACAAAAAUAUGAUAAAUUUUUUUCUCUUUUUCGUAACUAUCCAAAAAAUAAGAAAAAAAUUUAAUUUUUCCUUGUAAGUGUGAAAUAUAUAAAAAUCAAGAGAAAUAUAUCAAAACACCUCAAAAAAAAAUUCAAACUGCACCAAUGACCUUAGAAUAUUGAAAAAAAAUGUUCAAAAUUUAUCUUUUUUACGUAACUGUCUGAAACUUAAUAAAAAAAAAAAAUUUCCCCAUAAAUGUUCGUAAGAUAUAAAAAUCAAGAAAAGUACAUCAAAAACACUUCAAAAAAUUCUCAAACUUCACCAAUGACCAUAGAAUUUCAAAACAAAAAACUAAUCAAAAUUUUAUUCUUUUUCGUAAAUGUCUGAAAAAUAACAAAAAAAAAAAAAUUUCCUUGUACAUGUAUGAAACAUAUAAAAAUCAAGAAAAGUACAUCAAAACACCUCAAAAUUUUUUGAAACUUUACCAAUGACCUAAGAAUAUCGAAACAAAAAAAUGAUCAAAAUUUUACUCUUUUUCGUACUUGUCCAAAAAAUAACAAAAAAUUUAAUUUUUCCUCGUACAUGUAUGCAACAUAUAAAAAUCAAGAACAGUAUAUCCAAACAUCUCAAAAAAUUCUAAAACUAUACCAAUGACCUAAGAAUAUCGAAACAAAAAAAUGAUCAAAAAUUUAUUCUUUUACAUAAUUGUCUAAAUAAACAAAAAAUUUAAUUUUUCCUCGUAAAUGUUCGAAAGAUAUUAAAAUCAACAAAAGUACAUCAAAACAACUCAAAAAAAAAAUCAGAGUGCACCAAUGGCAAUAAAAUAUCGAAACAAAAGAAUGAUCAAAAUUUUAUUCGUUUUAGAACUUGUCUGAAAAAUAACAAAAAAAAUAAUUUAUCCUAAUAAAUGUACGAAACAUAUAAAAUUUAAGAAAAGUAUAUCAAAAUACGUCAAAAAUAUCUGAAACAGCACCAAUGGCAUUAGAAUAUCGAAACAUAGAAAUGAUAAAAAAUUUACUCUAUUUCAUUACUGUCCGAAAAAUAACAAAAAGAUAAUUUUUUCCUAACAACAUCGAAACACCUCAAAAAAUUCUGAAACUACACCAAUGACCUAACAAUGUCGAAACAAAAAUAUUAUCAAAAUUUUACUGUUUUUUGUAACGGUCCGAAAAAUAACAAAAAAAUUAAUUUUUCCUCGUAAAUGUACUAAACAUAUAAAAAUCAAGAAAAGUAAUCAAAACACAUCAGAAAAUUCUCAAACUGCACCUAUCUUAGAAUAUAAAACCAAAAAAAUAAUCAAAAUUUUACUCUUUUUCGUAACUGUCCGUAAAAUAAGAAAAAAGUAUUUUUUCUUCAUAAAUGUUUGAAAGAUAUAAAAAUCAUAAAAAGUAAAUCAAAACACCACAAAAAAUUCUAAAACUGCACCAAUCACCUUAGAAAAUCGAAAAGCAAAGUUGAUCAAAAUUUUACAAUUUUCGUAACAGUCCUGAGAAAUAGCUAAAAAAAUUAUUUUUUCCUCGUAAAUGUCCGAAAGAUAUAAAAAUCAAGAAAGGUAUAUCAAAACACCUCAAAAAAUUCUCAAACUGCACAAUGAUCUUAGAAUAUCGAAAAAAAUGAUAAAAUUUUUACUCGUUUUGGUUACAGUCCAAAAAUUAACAAAAAAUUUAAAUUUUCCUCGUAAAUGUACGAAACAUAUAAAAAUUAAGAAAAGUACAUCAAAACACCUCAAAAAAUUCUCAAACUGCACCAAUGACCUUAGAAUAUCGAAACAAAAAAAAAGAUCAAAAUUAUAAUCUUUUUCGUAAGUGUCCGACAAACAACAAAAAAAUUAAUUUUUCCUCGUAAAUGUAGGAAAAAUAUUAAAAUAAAAAAAAGUAUAUCAAAACACGUCCUAAAAUUCUAAAACUUCACCAAUGACCUUAGAAUAUCGAAAUAAAAAAAUGAACAAAAUUUUACUCUUAUUCGUAACUGUGCGAAAAAUAACAAAAAAAAAAAUUUUCCUCAUAAAUGUACGAAAAAUAUAAAAAUCAAGAAAAGUACAUCAAAAUACCUCAAAAGCUUCUCAAUCUCCACCAAUGACAUUAGAAUAUCGAAACAAUAAAGAGAUCAAAAUUUUACUCUUUUCUGUAACUGUCCGGCAAAUAACAAAAAAAAAAGUAUUUCCUCGUAAACGUUCGAAAGAUUAAAAUCAAGAAAAGUACAUCAAAACACCUCAAAACAUUCUCAAACUGUACCAAUGAACUUGGAAUAUCGAAAAAAUGAUCAAAAGUUUAAUCUUUUUGGUAACUGUCUGAAAAAUAACAAAAAAAAUAUAUUUUCCUCGUUAAUGUACGAAACAUAUAAAAUUAAAAAAAAGUACAUCAAACAUCUCAUAAAAAUCUCAAACUGAACCAAUGGUCUUAGAAUAUCUAAACAAAAAAUGAUCAAAUUCUUUAUCUUUUUCGAAAUCGAAUGAAAAAUUACCCAUAAUUUAUUUUUCAUCGUAAAUGUCUGAAGAUAUAAAAAUCAAGGAAAGUACAUCAAAAACACCUUAAAAAAUUCUCAAACUUUACCGAAGACCUUAGAAUAUCGAAACUAAAGUAUGAUAAAAAAUUUACUCUUUUUCGUAACUGUUGGAAAAAUAACAAAAAAUUUAAUUUUACCUCAUAAAUGUACGAAACAUAUAAAAAUAAAGAAAAGUACAUCAUAACACCUCAUAAAUUCUCAAACUUCACCAAUGACCUUAAAAUAUCGAAACAAAAAAAUGAUCAAAAUAUAACUCUUUUUCAUAACUGUCAGAUAAAUAACAAAAAAAAUGAUUUUUCCUUGUAAAUGUACGAAUCAUAUAAAAACAAUUAAAGUACAUCAAAACACCUCAAAAAAAUCUCAAACUUCACCAAGGAACUUAGAAUAUGAAAACAAAAAAAUGACUAAAAUUUUACUCUAUUUCGUAACUUUCCGAAAAAUAACAAAUAGUUUAAUUUUUCCUCGUCAAUGUAUGAAAUAUACAAAAAUCAAGAAAAGUACAUCAAAAACACCUCAAAAAAUUCUCAAACUUUACCAAUGACCAUAGAAUAUCAAAAAAAAUUCUCAAACUUUACCAAUGUAUGAAAUAUACAAAAUUUACUCUUUUACGUAAGUGUCCGAAAUAACAAAAAAAUUAUUUUUUCCUUGUAAAUAUCCGAAAGAUAUAAAAUCAAGAAAAAAAUAUAUCAAAACACCUCAAAAAAAUCUCAAACUGCACCGGUGACGAUAGAAUAUCGAAACAAAAAAUAAAUCAAAAUUUUGCUCGUUUGCGUAAAUGUCCGAAAAAUAACAAAAAAAUUAUUUUUCCUCGUAAAUGUCCCAAAGAUAUAAAAAUAAAGAAAAGUACACCAAAACACCUCAAAAAUUCUCAAACUUUACCAAUGACCUUAGAAUAUUAAACAAAAAAAUUAUCAAAUUUUUUCUCUUUUUCGUAAUUGUCCAAAAAAAAACAAAAAAAAUAAUUUUUCCCCGUAAAUGUACAAAAUAUAUAAAAAUCAAGAAAAAUACAUCAAAACGCCUAAAAAAAUUCUCAAACUGCACCAAUGAUCUUAGAAUAUCGAAUAAAAAAUGAUCAAAAUUUUAAUCUUUUUUGUAACCAUCCUAAAAAUAACAAAAAAAUUAAUUUUUCCUCAUAAAUGUACGAAACAUAUAAAAGUCAAGAAAAUUAUGUCAAAACACCUUAAAAAAUUCUAAAUCUGCACCAAUGACCUUAGAAUAUUGAAACAAAAAAAAAAUCAUGAUUUAACUCUUUUUCGAACAUGUCCGAAAAAUAACAAAAAUUUAAUUUUUCCUCAUAAAUAUAAGAAACAUUUAAAAAUCAAGAAAAAUAUAUCAAAACACCUCAAAAAAUUCUCAAACUGCACCAAUGACCUUAGAAUAUCAAAACAAAUAAAUGAUCAAAAUAUUAUAAUUUUUCCAAACUAUUCGAAAAAUAACAAUAAAUUUAUUUUUUAAUCCUAAAAUGUGUGAAAUAUAUAAAAAUCAAGAAAAGUACAUCGUCAAAAGAAUUCUCAAACUACACCGAUGACCUUAGAAUAUUGAAACAAAAAAAUGAUCAAAAUUUUGUACUUUUUAGUAACUAUUCGAAAAAUAAUAAAUUUUUUAAUAUUUACUCGUAAAUGUACGAAACUUAUAAAAAUCAAGAAAAGUACAUCAUAACACCUCAAAAAAAAAAAAUCUCAAACUGCACCAAUGACCUUAAAAUAUCAAAACAAAAGAAUGUAUAAAAUUUUACACUUUUCGUAACUGUCCGAAAAAUAACAAAAAAAAUUAAUUUUUUCUCGUAAAUGUCCUAGAAAUAUAAAAAUUAAGAAAAGUAUAUGAAAAACACCUGAAAGAAUUCUCAAACUUCACCAAUGACCUUAGAAUAUGAAACAAGAAAAUGAUCAAAAUGUUACUCUUUUUCGUAACUGUUGGAAAAAUAACAAUAAAUUUAAGUUGUCCUCGUAACAUUACGAAAUAUAUAAAAAUAAAGAAAAUAUUUAAAUCAAAACACCUCAUAAAAUUCUAAAAACUGCAUCAAUGACCUUAGAAUAUCGAAACAUAAGAAUGAUCAAAAUUUUACUCUUUUUCGUAACUGUCUGAAAAAUAACUAAAAAAAUUAUUUUCAUCGUAAAUGUACGAAACAUACAAAAAUCAAGAAAAGUACAUCUAAAACACCUCAAAAAAUUCUCAAAUUUCCCCGAUGAGCUUAUAAUAUCGAAACAAAAAAAUGAUCAAAAUUUUACUAUUUUUCCGUAUCUGUCCAAAAAAUAACUAAAAAAAUUAUUUUUCCUCGAAAAUGAACGAAACAUAGAAAAAUCAUGAAAAGUAGAUCAAAACACCUCAAAAAAUUCUUAAAUUGCACCGAUGGUCUUAGAAUAUCGAAACAAAAAAAUGAUCAAAAUUUUACACCUUUUCUUUACUGUCCGAAUAAUAACAAAAAAAUUAAUUUUUCCGUGUAAAUAUACGAAAUAUAUAAAAAUCAAGAAAUGUACAUCAAAAGGCAUUAAAAUAUUCUCAAACUGCACCAAUGACCUUAGAAUACCGAAACAAAAAUAUGACAAUUUUUUUUCUCUUUUUCGUAACUAUACAAAAAAUAACAAAAAAAAUUUAAUUUUUCCUUGUAAAUGUAUGAAAUAUAUAAAAAUCAAGAAAAAUACAUCAAAACAGCUCAAAAAAAUUCAAACUGCACCAAUGACCCUAGAAUAUCGAAAAAAAAGAUUUUUAUUUCUUUUUUUCGUAAUUGGCUGAAACAUAAAAAAAAAAAUAUUUCCCCCCCGUAAAUGUUCAAAAGAUAUAAAAAUCAAGAAAAGUACAUCAAAAACACUACAAAAAAUUAUCAAACUUCACCAAUGACCAUAUAAUAUCAAAACAAAAAAAUAAUCAAAAUUUUAUUCUUUUUCGUAAAUGUCCGAAAAAUAACAAAUUUUUUAAUUUUUCCUCAUACAUGUACGAAACAUAUAAAAAUCAAGAAAAGUACUUCAAAAUACCUCAAAAAAUUCUGAAACUAUACCAAUGACCUAAGAAUAUCGAAAGAAAACUGAUCAAAAUUUGACUCUUUUUCGUAACUGUCCAGAAAAUAACAAAAAAUUUAAUUUUUCCUCGUACAUGUACGUAACAUAUAAAAAUCAAGAAAAAUAUAUCAACACACCUCAAAACAUUCUGAAACUAUACCAAUGACCUAAGAAUAUCGAAACAAAAAAAUUAUCAAAAUUUUUCUCUUUUUCAUAAUUGAAUAAAUAAACAAAAAAAUUAAUUUUUUCGCGUAAAUAUCCGAAAGAUAUUAAAAUCAACAAAAGUUCAUCAAAACAACUCAAAAAAAAUUCAGAGUGCACUAAUGACAUAAGAAUAUCGAAACAAAAGAAGGAUCAAAAUUUUAUUCUUUUUCGAACCUGUCUGAAAAAUAACAAAAAAAUUAAUUUUUCUUAGUAAAUGUACGAAACAUAUAAAAUUUAAGAAAAGUACAUCAAAAUAUCUGAAAAUGCACCAAGGGCCUUAGAAUAUCGAAACAAAGAAAUGAUCAAAAUUUUACUCUUUUUCAUUACUGUCCGAAAAAGUACAAAAAAUUAAAUUUUUCCUCGUAAAUAUACAAAACAUAUAAAAAUCAAGAAAAGUACACCGAAACAACUCAAAAAAUUCUAAAACUACACCAAUGACGUAACAAUGUCGAAACAAAAAAACUAACAAUUUUUUUACUCUCUUUCAUAAGGGUCCGAAAAAAUAACAAAAAAAUUAUUUUUUUCUCGAAAAUGUACUAAACAUAUAAAAAUCAAGAAAAGUAAUCAAAACACCCCAGAAAAUUCUCAAACUGCACCUAUGACCUUAGAAUAUCAGAAAAAAAAGAUAAUCAAAAUUUUACUCUUUUUCGUAACUGUCCGAAAAAUAAUAAAAAUUUAUUUUUUUCUCAUAAAUGUUUGAACGAUAUAAAAAUCAUAAAAAGUAAAUCAAAACACGUCAAAAAAUUCUCAAACUGCACUAAUGAGCUUAGAAAAUUGAAAUAAAAAAUUGACCAAAAUUUUAAAAUUUUCGUAACUAUGCUGAAAAUAGCUAAAAAAAUUAUUUGAUCCUCGUAAAUGUCCGAAAGAUAUAAAAAUCAAGAAAGGUACAUCAAAACAUCUCUAAAAAUUCUCAAACUGCACUAAUAACCUUAGAAUAUAAAAAAAAAAUGAUUAAAAGUUUACUCUUUUUGGUUACUGUCCAAAAAUUAACAAUAAAUUUAAUUUUACCUCCUAAAUGUACGAAACAUAUAAAAAUCAAGAAAAGUACAUCAAAACACCUCAAAAAAUUCUCAAACUUCACCAAUGACCUUAGAAUAUCGAAAAAAGAGAGGAUCCAAGUUAUACUCUUUUUCGUAAGUGUUCCACAAAUAACAAAAUAAAUAAUUUUUCCUCGUUAAUGUACGAAAAAUAUAAAAAUCAAGAAAAGUACAUCAAAACACCUCAAAGAUCUCUCAAAUUGCACCAAUGACCUUAGAAUAUCGAAACAAUAAAGAGAUCAAAAUUUUACUCUUUUUCGUAACUGUCCGAAAAAUUACAUAAAAAAUUAAUUUUUCCUCGUAAAUGUACUAAACAUAGAAAAAUCUAGAAAAGUAAUCAAAAAACCUUAGAAAAUUCUUAAACUGCUCCUAUGAACUUAGAAUAUCAGACCAAAAAAAUGAUCAAAAUUUUACUCUUUUUCGUAAUUGUCCAAAAAAUAACAAAAAUUUAAUUUUCCCUCAUAAAUGUUUGUAAGAUAUAAAAAUCAUAAACAGAAAGUCAAAACAGUUCAAAAAAAUCUCAAACUGUACCAAUGACCUUAGUAUAUCGAAACAAAAAAAAUGAUCAAAAUUUAACUCUUAUUAACAACUGUCCGAAAAAUAACAAAAAAUUUAAUUAUUCCUCGUAAAUGUAGUAAACAUAUAAAAGUCAAGAAAAGUAAUCAAAACACCUCACAAAAUUCUCAAACUGCACCUAUGACCUUAGAGUAUCAGAACAAAAAAAUGAUAAAAAUUUACCCUUUUACGUAACUGUCCGAAAAAUAAAAUAAAAUUAUUUUUUCCUCGUAAAAGAAUGAAACAUAUAAAAAUUAAGAAAAGUACAUCAAAAUACCUCAAAAAAAUCUUAUACUAAACCAAUGACCUUAGAAUAUCAAAACAAAAAAAAUGAUCAAAAUUUUACUCCUUUACGUAACUAGCCAAAAAAUAACAAAAAAUUUAAUUUUUCCUUGUAAAUGUAGGAAACAUAUAAAAAUAAAGAAAAGUACAUUAAAACAACUCAAAAAAUUCUCAAACUGCACCAAUGACCUUAGAAUAUCGGAACAAAAUUUUCUUAUCAAAAGUUUACACUUUUUCAUAACUGUCCGAAAAAUAACAAAAAAAUUAUUUUUUCCUCGUAAAUGUACGAAAAAUAUAAAAAUCAAGAAAAGUAAGUCCAAAACACCUCAAAAAAUUCUCUAACUGCACCAAUGACCUUAAAAUAUCGAAACAAAAAAAUUAUCAAAAUUUUACUAUUUUUCGUAACUGUUCGAUAAAUAACAAAAAAAUUAAUUUGUAGGGUAAAGGUACAAAACAUAUAAAAAUCAAGAAAAGUAUAUCAAACCACGUCAAAAAAUUCUUAAACUGCUCAAUGACCUUAAAAUAUAAAAACAAAAAAAUGAUCAAAAUUUUAUUCUUUUUUUGUAAUUGUUCGAAAAAUAACAAAUAAAAUAAUUUUUCCUUGUAAAUGUACGAAAUUUAUAAAUAUCAAGAAAAGUACAUCAAAACACCUAAAAAAUUUCUCAAACUGCACCAAUGACCUUAGAAUAUCGAAAUAAAAAAGUGAUGAAAAUUUUACUCUUUUUCAUACCUGUCCGAAAAAUAACAAAAUAUUAAAUUUUUCCUCGCAAAUGUCUGAAAGAUAUAACAAUCAAGAAAAGUACAUCAGAACACCUCAAAAAAAUUGUCAAAGUGCACCAAUGACCUUUGAAUAUCGAAACAAAAAAAUGUUCAAAAUUUUACCUUUUUAGUAAUUGUCCGAAAAAUCACCAAAGAAUUAUUUUUACUCAUAAAUGUCUGAAAGAUAUAAAAAUCAAGAAAAGUACAUUAAAACACCUCAAAAUAUUCUCAAACUGCACCACUGACCUUAGAUUAUCAAAACAAAAAAAUGAGAAAUUUUUUUACUCUUUUUCGUAACUGUCCGAAAAAUAACAAAAAAAUUAUUUUUUUUUCGUUAAUGUCUGAAAGAUGUAAAAAUCAAGAAUGUAAAUCAAAAUACCUCAAAAAAUUAUCAAAUUGCACAAAUGACCUUAGAAUUUCGAAACAAAAAAAUGAUCAAAAUUUAAAGCUUUUGCAUAAAUGUCGAAAAAUAACAAAAAAAUUAUUUUUUCCUCGUAAAUGUACGAAACAUAUAAAUAUUAAGAAAAGUACAUCAAGACACCUCAAAAAACUCUUAAACUACACAAAUGACCAUAGAAUAUCGAAAUAAAAAAAUGAUCAAAAUUUUACGCUUUUUCGUAACUGUCAAAAAAAUUACAAAAAAUUUAAUAUCUCCUCGUAAAUGUACGAAACAUAUAAAAAUCAAGAAGUGUAAAUCAAAAAACCUCAAAAAUUUCUCAAACUUCACCAAUGACCUUAGAAUAUCGAGAAAAAAAAAUGAUCCAAAUUUUUCUCUUUUUUGUAACACAUCGUAAAAUUAAAAAAUAAUUAAUUUUUCCUCGUAAAUGUAUGAAACAUAUAAAAAUCAAGAAAAGUACAUCAAAACACCACAAAAAAUUUUCAAAUUGCACCAAUGACCUUAUUAUGUCGAAACAAAAAAAAUAUCAAAAUUUUACUCUUUUUCGUAAUUGUCCGAAAAAUAACAAAAAAAUUAAUUUUUUCUAAUAAAUGUACUAAACAUAUAAAAAUCAAGAAAAUUACAUCAAAACACCUGGAAAAAAAAUCAAACUGCACCUAUGUCCUCAGAAUAUUGAGACAAAAAAAUGAUUAAAAUUUUACUCUUUUUCGCAACUGUCCGAAAAAUAACAAAAAAUUAUUUUUUCCUCAAAAAUGUUUGGAAGAUAUAAAAAUCAUGAAAAGAAAAUAAAAACACCUCAAAAUAUUCUAAAACUGCACCAAUGAUCUUAGAAUAUCGAAACAAAAAAAUGAUCAAAAUUUAACACUUUUUUGCAAUUGUUCGAAAAGUUACAAAAAAUUUAAUUAUUCCUCGUAAAUGUCUAAAAGAUAUAAAAAUCAAGAAAAGUACAUCAAAACACCUCAAAAAAUUCUCAAACUACACCAAUGAUCUUAGAAUAUCGAAACAAAAGAAUGAUCAAAAUUUACUCAUUUUGGUAACUGUCCGAAAAAUAACUAAAAAUUUAAUUUUUCCUCGUAAAUGUACAAAACAUAUAAAAAUCAAGAAAAAAAUACAUCAAAACACAACGAAAAAAUCUUAAACUGCACUAAUGACCUUGGAAUAUCGAAACAGAAAAAUAAUAAAAAAUUUACUAUUUUUCAUAAUUGUCCGAAAAAUAACAAAAAAUUUAAAUUUUCCUCGUAUAUGUCCUAAAGAUAUAAAAUCAAGAAAAUUUUUUACUUUUUAUCGUAACUGUCCGAAAAAUAACAAUAAAAUUAUUUUUUCUCAUAAAUGUACGUAAUAGAUAAAAGUCAAGAAAACUACAUCAAAACACCUCAAAGAUCUCUCAAAUUGCACCAAUGACUUUAGAAAAUUGAAACAAAAAAAUGAUCAAAAUUUACUUUUUUUUCGCAACUGUCCCAAAAAUAACAAAAAAUUGAUUUUUUUCUCGUAAAUAUACGAAACAUAUAAAAAUCAAGAAAAGUACAUCAAAACACCUCAAAAAAAUCUCAAACUGCACCAAUGACCUUAGAAUAUCGAAACAAAAAAAUGAUAAAAAGUUUACUCUUUUUCGUAAUUGUCUUAAAAAUAACAACAAAUUUAAAUUUUUCUCGUAAAUUUUCGAAAGAUAUAAAAAUCAAGAAAAGUACAUCAUAACACCUCAAAAUAUUCUUAAACUGCACCAAUGACCUUAGAAUGUAGAAACAAAAAAUGAUCAAAAUUUUACUCUCUUUCGUAACUAUCCAAAGAAAAACCAAAAAAUUAAUUUUUCCUCAUAAAUGUUCGAAAGAUAUAAAUAUUAAGAAAAGUACAUCAAAACACCUCAAAAAAUUCUCAAAGUGCACCGAUGACCUUGGAAUAUCGAAAGAAAAAAAUGAUCGAAAUUUACUCUUUUUCGUAACUAUUCGAAAAAUAACAAAAAAAUUAAAUUUUCCUAGUAAAUGUAUGAAACAUAUAAAAAUUAAGAAAACUACAUCAAAACACCUCAAAAAAAUCUUUAACAACAUCAAUGACCUUAAAAUAUCGAAACAAAAAAAGGAUCAAAAUUUUACACUUUUUCGUAGUUAUUCGAUAAAUAACAAAAAAAUUAAUUUGUACUCGUAAAUGUACAAAACAUAUGAAAAUCAAGAAAAGUAUAUCAAAACACCUCAAAAAAUUGUCAAACUGCACCAAUGACCUUGGAAAAUCGGAACAAAAAAAUGAUCAAAAUUGAACUCUUUUUCGCAACUGUCCCAAAAAUAACAAAAAAAUAAUUUUUUCCUCGUAGAUAUACGAAACAUAUACAAAUCAAGAAAAGUACAUCAAAACACCUCAAAAAAAAUUCUCAAACUGCACCAAUGACCUUAGAAUAUCGAAACAAAUAAAUGAUCAAAAGUUUACUCUUAUUCGUAAUUGUCCGAAAAAUAACAACAAAUGUAAAUUUUCCUCGUAAAUGUCCGAAUGAUAUAAAAAUCAAGAAAAGUACAUCUAAAACACCUCAAAAAAUUCUCAAACUGCAACAAUUACCUUAGAAUAUCGAAACAAAAAAAUAAUCAAAAUUUUACUCUCUUUCGUAACUGAACAAAGAAAAACCAAAAAAAUAUUUUUUCCUCGUAAAUGUCCGAAAGAUAUAAAAAUUAAGAAAAGUACAUCAAAAAACCUCAAAAAAAUUCUCAAAGUGCGCCGAUGACCUUAGAAUAUUGAAACAAAAAAAUGAUCAAAAUUUACUCCUUUUCGAAACUGUCCAAAAAAUAACAAAAAAUUUAAUUUUUCCUAGUAAAUGUACGAAACAUAUAAUAAUUAAGAAAUGUACAUCAAUACACCUCAAAAAGUUCUUAAACUACAUCAAUGACCUUAGAAUAUCGAAAUAAAAAAAUGAUCAAAAUUUUACUCUUUUUCAUAAUUGUCCGAAAAAUAACAAAAAAAUAUUUUUUUCCUCGUAAAUGUACAAAACAUAUAAAAAUUAAGAUAGUACAUCAAAACACCUCAAAUAAUUCUUUAACUACACCAAUGACCUUAGAAUAUCAAAACAAAAAAAUGAUCAAAAUUUUUACUCUAUUUCGUAACUGUCCGAAAAAUAAUUAAAAUUUAAUUUUCUUCGUUAAUAAACGAAACAUAUAAAAAUCAAGAAAAUUUCAUAAAAACACCUUAAAAAAAAUCAAAGUGCACCAAUGACCUUAGAAUUUCGAAAAAAAUGAUCAAAAGUUUACCUUUUUUCAUAACUGUCCAAAAAAUAACAAAAAAAUAUUUUUUCCUCAUAAAUAUACGAAAGAUAUAAAAAUCAAGAAAAGUACAUCAAAACACCUCGAAAAAUUGUCAAACUGCACCAAUGACCUUAGAAUAUGGAAACAAAAAAUGAUCAAAAUUUUACUCUUUUUCGUAACUGGUUGAUAACUAACCGAAAAUUUAAUUUGUCCUCGUAAAUGCACAAAACAUAUAAAAAUCAAGAAAAGUACAUCAAAACACCUCGAAAAAUUGUCAAACUGCACCAAUGACCUUAGAAUAUCGAAACAAAAGAGAAUCAAAACUUUACACUAUUUUCGUAACAGUCUGAAAAAUAGCAAAAAAAUUAGUUUUUCCCUGUAAAUGUACGAAACAUUUAAACAUCAAGAAAAGUACCUCUAAACACCUCAAAAAAUUCUCAAACUACACCAAUGACCUUAGAAUAUCGAAACAAAAAAAAGAUCCAAAUUUUACUCUUUUUCAUAACUGUCCAAAAAAUAACAAAAUUUAUUUUUUUCUCAUAAAUGUACGAAACACAUAAAAAUCAAGAAAUGUACAUUAAAACACAUCAAAAUAUUCUCAAACUUCACCAAUGACCUUAGAAUAUUGAAACAAAAAAAAAUGAGAAAAAAUUUACUCUUUUUCGUAACUGUUUGAAAAAUAACAAAAAAUUUAAUUUUUGGUCGUAAAUUUUUUAAAGAUAUAAAAAUCAAGAAUGUACAUCAAAACACCUCAAAAUAUUCUCAAACUGCACCAAUGACUUUAGAAUAUCGAAUCAAAAAAAUAAUUAAAAUUUUACUCUUUUUCAUAACUGUCGUAAAAAUAACAAAAGUAUUAAUUUUCCUCGUAAAUGUACGAAACAUAUAAAAAUUAAGAAAAGUACAUCAAAACACCUGAAACAAUUCUCAAACUGCACCAAUGACCUUAGAAUAUUGAAACAAAAAAAUGAUCAAAAUUUUACUCUUUUUUCUAUAACAACUCGCAAAAUGAUAGGUUGAACUAGAGCCUCAUCGUGUGGGUUAGUGUAACCUUAAGUUGAUGUCUAGGCUGUUUUAGAACUAAUUUGAGUUAGGAAGAAUCCUAGGGUGCAAGCAAGGGCUUAAUCUAGCAAAAUGGAGUGGAAGAAGCAUUGUUCUUUUAUGGACCUUUUGGCGAUAGGGCAACUUGAUCGCCCAAAGGAUUGAGCAAGUCACCCUUGUGCCCUUGUGAUCGUAGACAUGGUGCCCCCAAUGGUGACGAUCCACCUGAGGCUGCAGAUGAAGCCCUGGCCAGGCCUAGAGGACGACCACGGGGUAGGGGUAGGGGUCCAGCACCAGCCCCAGACAGAGAUAUAGCUCCAGACCUGGUAGAGGAUCCUCAGGUUGCCCCUAUUCCCCCUCAGCCGGAGGGUCCAGGUUUAGCCUAGCCGCCAGCCGCACCGGUCAUGAAUCAUGCUCUUUAGGCAGCUAUUGCCCAGCUACUUGCAGCUUUUGGGGGUGUACAGUAGGUCCUGGCACCUGCUCCAGUUCCACUAGUACAACAGGAGGAGCCAGCUCCAGUUCCACCAGUACAACAGGAGAAGCCAGGUCUAGUUCCACUAGUACAGCAGGACGGCCUCCAUCUCCCGUUCCAGGAGGGCACCCAGCCCUAGUGCCUCCUGCCGCCCAGCUAUAUGUUGCAGGAGGUCUUAUACCAUUCCAGGAGCAGAGGAUGCUUAGAUAUUUCCUCAGAUUGGCACCACUGAGGUUCUCAGAGGCAGUUGAAGAGGAUGCCUACGGGUUUCUGACUUCCUGCCGUGAGUGGUUGCAUGCCUUGAGAUUGUUGGAGUCCCGAGGGGUAGAUUUCACAUCCUAUCAACUUGAUAGACCCGCGAGGCAGUGGUGGCAGACAUAUAUGGAGACUAGGUGAGCUGGUCCCCUUCAGUGUCUUCGACGGAGUUUUCAGAGGCCUUCUUAGGUAGAUUUGUUCCCAGGAGUUUCAGAGAUGGGCUUCGCGAUUAGUUUUUGAGGUUGGAACAGGGCUCUAUGACCAUGUCUGAGUAUGAGGCGAGAUUUUAGGAGCUCUCUAGGUAUGCUACUAUGAUAUUACCAACGGAGGAGGAAAUGAUCUGGUGUUUUGUUCGAGGUCUGAGUACCCAGUUGCGGGUUGAGACCCAUUCUUUCGUUACAACGGGCCGUUCUUUUCUGAAGAUAGUUAAUCACCCUCGUUCCAUCGAGCAGUUCCAUCGCGAGGCCCAAGGGGGCAGCGACAAGAGGGCCCGACAUGAGGGUAUCUAUAGUGGACUGCGUUACAGGUCUAAAGAUUAUGAAGGCAGGCUCCAACAACAGUUAAAGCAGGGUCAGUCUUGCCGACUAGUACAUGCCUCAUUCCAGGCUUCAGGGGUGAUCAGCACCAGCAAGAUGCCUCCGGUCAGGGUGGCCCUCCCUAUAUUGCAGGCCAGAAGGCGAGAGAUGUGGCAUUGGCUGCUUCAGGUCAGACUGGUUUAUCACAUUUAGCGUGUCAGAGUACCAGGGAUUCAGAUGUGAGUACUACGGGCCGUAACGAUCGCUAAUUUGCGGGACGAUCUUCCCAAGGGUACUAUGAUUGUGGGGAUUAGACCAUUUGUCCAGAGAUUGUAAAAUGAUCAAAAUUUUACAAUUUUUCAAAACACUCUGAAAAAUAACAUAAACAUUAUUUUUUCCUCGAAAAUGUCUGGAAGAUAUAAAAAACAAGAAAAAUACAUCAAUACUCCUCAUAAAAUUGUAAAACUACAACAAUGAGCUUAGAUUAUCGAAACAAAAAAAUGAUAAAUUUUUUAUUCUUUUUCGUAACUGUCCGAAAAAUAACGAAAAAAUCAUUUUGCCUUGUAAAUGUAAGAAACAUAUAAAAAUCAAGAAAAGCUCAUCAAAACACCUAAAAAAAUUCUCAAAAUGCACCAACGACCUUAGAAUACCGAAAUAAAAAAUGAUCAAAAUUCUACUCUUUUUCAAAACUGUCUGAAAACCAAGAUUUUUUUUUAAUUUUUCCUCGUAAAUGUCCGAAAGAUAAUGAAAACUUCAUCAAAACACCUCAAAAAAUUCUCAAACUGCUGCACCAAUGAGCUUAGAAUAUCGAAACAAAAAAACGAUAAAUUUUUUAUUCUUUUUCGCAAAUGUCCGAAAAAUAACAAAAAAUUUACUUUUUCCUUGUAAAUGUACGAAACAUAUAAAAAUCAAGAAAAGUAUAUCAAAACACCUCAAAAAACUAUCAGACUGCACCAAUGACCUUAGAAUAUUGGAAAAAUAAUGGUCAAAAUUUUAAUCGCUUUCGUUAUAGUCUGAAAAAUAACAAAAAAAUUAUAUUUUUGUCGUAAAUGUACUAAACAUAUAAAAAUCAAGAAAUGCGCAUCAAAACACCUCAAAAAAUUCUCAAAUGGCACCAAUGACCUUAGAAUAUCUAAAUAAAAGAAUGAUCAAAAUUAUACGCUUUUUCAUAACUGUCCGAAAAAUAACAAAAAAUAAUAUUUUUUCCUCGUAAAUGUACGAAACAUAUAAGAAUCAAGAAAAGUACAUCAAAACAUCUGGAAAAAAAUUCUCAAACUGCACCACUGACCUUAGAAUAUCGACACAAGAAAAUGAUCACAAUUGACUCCUUUUUCAUAAAUGUCCGAAAACUUACAAAAAAAUUAAUUUUUCCUCAUAUAUGAACAAAACAUAUAAAAAUCAAGUAACGUAUAUCAAAAUACCUCAAAAAAUCCUCAAACUGUACCAAUGACCUUAGAAUAUCGAAAUAAAAAAUGAUUAAUAUUUGCCUCUUUUUCGUAACUUUCCGAAAAAUAACAAAAAAAAAAAAUUUCCUCGUAAAUGUCCGAAAGAUAUAAAAAUCAAGAAAAAUUACAUCAAAACACCUCAUAAAAUUCUCAAACUGCACCAAUGACUUUAGAAUAUCAAAACAAAAGAUGAUCAAAAUUUUGCACUUUUUCAUAACAGUCCAAAAAAUAACAAAAAAAUUAAUUUUUCCACGUAAAUGUACGAAUCAUAUAAAAAUCUAGAAAAGUACAUCAAAACAUCUCAAAAAAUUCUCAAAUUGCACCAAUGACCUUAGAAUAUUGAUACAAAAAAUUGAUCAAAAUUUUACUCUCUUUCUUAACCUUCCAAGAAAUAACAAAAAACUUAAUUUUUCCUCAUAAAUAUACAGAAGACAUAAAAAUCAAGAAAAGCAUAUCAAAAUAUCUCAAAAAAUUCUCAAACUGCACAAAUGACCUUAAAUAUCGAAAUAAAAAAUUAUCAAAAUUUUGCACUUUUUCAAAACACUCCGAAAAAUAACAAAAAAAAUUAUUUUAUCCUAGAAAAUGUCCGGAAGAUAUAAAAAACAAGAAAAGUACAUCAAUACUCCUCAUAAAAUUCUCAAACUACAACAAUGAGCUUAGAGUAUCGAAACAACAAAUGAUAAAAAAUUUAUUCUUUUUCGUAACUGUCCGAAAAAUAACGAAAAAAAUCAUUUUGCCUUGUAAAUGUAAGAAACAUAUAAAAAUCAAGAAAAGCACAUCAAAACACCUCAAAAAAUUCUCAAACUACACCAACGACCUUAGAAUACCGAAACAAAAAAUGAACAACAUGUUACUCUUUUUCAAAAUUGUCCGAAAACUAACAAUUUUUUUUUAUUUUUCCUCCUAAAUGUCCGAAAGAUAUAAAAAUCAAGAAAAUUAUAUCAAAACACCUCAAAAAAUUCUCAAACUGCUGCACCAAUGAGCUUAGAAUAUCGAAACAAAAAAGUGAUAAAUUUUUUAUUCUUAUUCGCAAAUGUCCGAAAAAUAACAAAAAAUUAACUUUUUCCUUGUAAAUGUACGAAACAUAUAAAAAUCAAGAAAAGUAUAUCAAAACAACUCAAAAAAUUAUCAGACUGCACCAAUGACCUUAGAAUAUUGAAACAAAAAAAUGAUCAAAAUUUUAAUCGCUUUCGUUAUAGUCUGAAAAAUAACAAAAAAACUAUAAUUUUGUCGUAAAUGUACUAAACAUAUAAAAAUCAAGAAAAGCACAUCAAAACACCUCAAAAAAUUCUCAAACGGCACGAAUGACCUUAGA